This 67348-nucleotide long non-coding RNA is filed under the name Eucalyptus grandis. RNAcentral describes it as "long non-coding RNA (EGRA_LNC004767)". The record is from RNAcentral. Lineage: Eukaryota; Viridiplantae; Streptophyta; Magnoliopsida; Myrtales; Myrtaceae.
GCGUCUCCAAAUCUGCAACUCAAGCGCUAGGACAGCGGAGAGGGUGGACGCGGAGGUCGGUUGUCGCUCAUGGCCAUGGCUUCAGAUAUGGAGUCUCGGCCGCGAGCCCAUUGCUUUGCAUCUCCAAUCUGCCGGCGGGACAACGGAGAGGGUGGAUGCGGAGAUCGUCGUCGCUCACGGCUAUGGAUGCGAAGCCCACUAGUCUGCGUCUCCUAAUCUGCCGCUGAGACGCCGAGACAACAGAGAGGGUGUGCGUUCAGUUCUUUGGACGAGAGGCCCCCCAUUGCUGACCGUUGCUCUGUAUCUUCAUAUCUGUGGACAAGCGCUCGCCGCCAAGGCCUAGCCGCCUGGACGACAGAGGGUGGACGCAGGGAUCUGCCUGGACGUGACGAUACCAUCGCCCAACAGCUUUGAUCUGGUUUGCUGUUCAACGGCUUUGAGCUCGAGUCUUGGCUCGUCCAUGGCUGCCGGCGACAAGCUCAACAGCUUUGCCGCAAACCGUGAUGGCCACGGUGGGGCGGUGGCUUAAGGGUGGCGGCUUGGGCGGUGGAGAUAGCCAAGCUGAGGCGGAGCACAGGUUGAAGAUGGAGGAGGAAAAGAGAAAAUUAAUAAUUUCUAAUAUAUACGUGCCAAGAUUUAAUUGAAUAUCAGUAAAUAAGCGCGCAAUGUCAGCCGAUGACGGAGAAACGCCACCCCCCAAUCAGUCUCUCUUUUCAUGCUAACGACUGAAACGCAAAUAUUUAAAGGAAAAACGGGAAACUUUAGUACCAGCCAAUGUAAUGGAUUNNNNNNNNNNNNNNNNNNNNNNNNNNNNNNNNNNNNNNNNNNNNNNNNNNNNNNNNNNNNNNNNNNNNNNNNNNNNNNNNNNNNNNNNNNNNNNNNNNNNAGACUUCCACUGCUUCAAUUCAUCUAGGUUUGUGACAAAAGAUGGAUGGAUGGGACAUUUGUCAGAUUUUGGCUAGUGCUAACGCAAAGUUGUGGAAAUUGAAUUGCAAGGGACUACUUUUUAGAUGUCUAAAAUUAUACAUGUGGACCAUUUAUAUUUUUUAGUAGCCAUAAAUUCGAAAUUUUUGUAGCUAAGUUUUGCUUUAGGCAGGUAGGAGUAGCCCAAAUGCUGAGAUGUAAACCGAGUUGAAAGAAGUUAUGUAGAUCUUGUCUUUUGGCCUCAAUUUUAGUAUUGUCUAAGUCACUAUGAUUUUGUGAUUUAAAAUAUGCAAGAUUUGUAUUGCUUCUUGCGCUCUACUCCUGUGGAUCCUAUAAUUUUUUUUCCAAAUUGCUUAUUGCGUCGCAAUACGAAGUAUCAAUGUCAAAACACAAGGAUACUGAAGUUCUUAUUGAAGUUCUAGAUUUUUGCUCUCUCUUUUAUGUUUAUGCGUCCAUUAAUCUCUUUAAGUUUCCCCCUUUUAUACUAGUUGGAAUGCGUAUUAUGCAAGAUUGUAUAAGCAAUACAAUUGAUGUGAAUGUUAGCUUUUCCAAGUUUCAGAUGUAGCUCUCUGUCUGCAUUUAACCAAAUUAAGCUGGCAAGUAUUAAUUUUACUCUUCUGUAGAGCUUUUGGCUAUUCUGUCUUAGUGAAAGUUUGAACAAGCAAAUAGUUCCAUAUGUUUUAUGCUACAAGUAUCAAUCGUUGGAAAUAUCUCUGCUUUUUAACAAAUUCAUGGUGUGUUUACCUUCGAAUGCUCAGAGAUAUAUACCUUCCUAUUUUUCAUAAUGGUAUUUCACUGUGCAUCCAAAUGAUUGCCCUUCUAUUUGCCAUUUUCUUGCCUUGUUUCUAUUUCUGUGACAAAGGGUGACAUUACUUAUGUUAGAGGAUAUCCUAUGAAGGUAGGAGGCAUCUGGAACAGAGUUGACGUUUCAGUUGCAUUUGCAGGUUAGAUUCCUGGGUAGAAUCCCAUCAAUGUUUGUAUCCAAGUUCUUUGGGUUUUUUUGGUUAUCUUUUGUGUCAUGAAGUUUGAGCUAUAAUGCUACUGAGUGUCCUCUUGCAUUGCCUUAAAGUUCUAUUACUGAGGUUUUGCGAAUUGAAUUCAGCAUCUUGCGUUCUAAUUUGUCUAAUUAUCUUAGUUGGUAUGCCAUCCUAGUAUUGGCACAUACAACUGAGAAAGGUGAAGGGCCAUGACUGGCAAAAAGGGCACAUUCUAGUGUUAUUAUAGAUGGUGGGAAUUAUGAGGGCCCAAUUGGGAGUGUGUUCAAAUAUGUAUUUGUUUGUUCUACAUUUGUAAAAAAUAUGGCCCAAGUUAUUCCAAGUUCAACAGCUAGGUUAUAAAACAAUGCUUACAAUUACAUGGGCUAUACCAAACACAUUUAUGCCAAUUGACAAGCUGCUUCUCUCUAAUUGCAUUCCAUUUGCAAGCAGAACUAUACCUUCCAUCAAAGUAGCAAUGGCAGGAUGCUAGAAAAGGGAUCAUGCAUAAAGCAGCCAGCACUUGUAGCAAAUCGUUAGAUCUUGAAUCCAUGCUUCCCAAACAACUACUGAUUAAGAUCAAGAGAUGGACCUGAACCAUAGACAAUUUCCUGUUGGAUAUUUAUCAAGCAAAGGACCAUAAGAUGCCAUGAUCAAACCACAAGAAAAAUGUACUCCCCUACUCAAUGUGUACUUCAUUAGCUGCUUGGCUAUUUUACACAGCUUCAACACUUAAUUCAGCAAUAGAAGGAGUCAGAGCGCAACUUUAAAGGCCAUAAACUUUUCCCUUUUUGUUUAUAAAUUUCAAUCCAAGAUGUUCGGAAAUAAUUGGAUUUCAAGAAAAUGCUCAAAUUAUACAUCAGGAUACAAGCAUUAUUCCAUUCAAGUAAUAUUAUUUAACCGCUAAGCAUACUUGCUUCUUAGGUAGAUACACCUUUUGCUCCAUGUGUAGAAGAGCUUUUCCAAAGAAACCAUCAUGCUUUGCUCGAUUUGUUCUAUUAGUUCUCUUGGGCAGGAUGAAAAUAUCGCAGCAAUAGACACAAUUAUAGAAUUGCUAAUAAGUCGUAAUUGACCGACAUAAUAAAUUCAUGAGCAGUCCAAUGACUCGAUUCCAAUCAACAACUAUAUAGAAGCUAGGAGUAGUAAAUUCACUGAAGUGAAAUUUACUGCUUCAGCUCCACACCAACAAUUAUAUAGUAGCUAGGAGUAGUAAUUACAUCUUUCCUCUCAAGUCAAGAAUUCAGUGGGAACAUGAAUUGCAAUCAAUAGAUUAAAAAAAAAAAAAAACCUCAACUUGCAUAAGUCAAGAAUGAAGUGUGAACAUCAUCUUUUCAUUUUUGGUUUGAAAUGAGGGAGGGGUCCAUGCAUGUGUGGUGCAUGGAAUGUGGAGCGUCCGUGUAUUGUUAGCUUUAUCAAUCAAACAGGCUUUUUAUUGCUGUCACAUGUGACCAUCUAAUUAAUGAAGAGGUGGUCCUUGUUCGAGCUUUGUCUACUUCUAUCGAAAGAAACAAAGACCAAAAGCAAGGGAAGAACAUGGGAAGAUAUGUAUGGCCGUUGAAAAAAUCACAUGCUUGCAUUUGGUAAACCUUUAGCCAACUGAUGAGUUUAGGUUCUCAUGUGAGAUAAAUUUAAUUAUUUGAAAUAAUAUUCAUUUUAGGUCAUUUUUUGAACUACUCUAUGCUUUUUUUAUUAUAUAAUAUUCUCGAAUAAUACUAUCAAGCCUUUUUGUUAAUAAAAAUAAAAAUAAAAAAAUGUAAUGGAAAUGAAUCAAUGGAGUCAAGCCUUGGAUUCGCUCUAGAUUUGAGCAUGUAAAAGGAACAGGGUGGUGGGGGCCAUCUGCCAUCAAAAUCAACUUUGAUAAUUUUUCUUUCCUGACUAGUGUUGUGUGGACAAAAGUUAGCACAGAAGUGAUGAGCAAAAAUUUCCUUCGCUUUUGACUAAGCAAAAAAGAAUUAGAAAAAAAAAAGGUGAGAUAUCAUCAAAUCACAUGAAACAUCCGUCGUUAGUGGACACUUUAUACUUUUAAAGUGUAUCUUCAUUAAAGUUGAAACACGGAAAUCCUUUUUUGUAUUAAAUAAUUGAAUAUGUAUCCUUCACACUUAAACGAAGUCUUUCUUAUGAACUUUUCCAUGAAAUAUUGAAUUGUUUUGGAGAUGACUCUACUCUAUGCUCUUUUUUAGAUUAUUCUCAAAUAAUGAUUAUCAAGCCUUUAUAUUAAUAAUAAAAAAAAUGUAAUGGAAAUGAACCAAUGGAGUCAAGCCUUGGGUUCGCUCUAGAUUUGAGCAUGUAGAAGGAGCAAGCUAGUGGGGGCCACCUGCCAUCAAAAUCAACUUUGAUAAUUUUUCUUUCCAGACCAGAGUUAUAUGGAGGGAAGCUAACACGAAAGUAAUGAGCAAAUAUUUCCUUGUGCUUUUGACUAAGCUUGACUAAGCAAAAUAGACAAAGAAGAAAAAAUCAUCAAGUCACAUGGAACAAUCAACCUUAUUGGACACUUUAUACUUUGAAAGUGUAUUCUUAAUUAAAGUCCAAACACGAAAAUCCUCUUUUGGACUAAAUAAUUUGAAUAUGUAUCCUUCACAUUUAGAAGAAGUCUUUUUUAUGAACUUUUGCAUAAAGUAUCCAAUUGUUUUGGAAAUGACUUACACUGACUUGACUGGGAGUAGCACCUCUAAAAAGUGGAUUCCCAGAAAAGGCACCCAGCAAAAAGGGCCCCACAUUAGCAAAAGAUUCUUUGCUCCAAAGUAAUAGAAAAUAAGCUAUUAGCACACCAAUUAAUCAUUUAAAGGUGUUCUCUAGAAAAUUACUCAUUUCUUUAAAUUUAUAUUAGAGUCGUUACAUUAUUUUCAAUUGGAUGAAAAGCUUGAUCUAUUUCCAUUACAAAAGGUUAUAAAAUUGUCUGAUGACUAUUGCUUUAUGAGAUGGGGGAAAAAGUGCAAAAGGAUAUAUGCCUCUCUAUAUUUGGCGCAUGAAUGCAUCAAAUUCCUCCUCUGACACUUGUUAAUCAUACUAUUGUUUAAUUAUAUAUUGUGAUGAAAAUAUAUCAUCAACUCUCUUAAUUUAUCAACAUGUGAUGCUAUGAUAUUUAGCUCUAAAAAUUUCAAAUAAACACAAGCAGUAUUUUGCCCCAAAUAUUGAAUAUGCUUCAUAGUAUUAAGUAUAUACACACAAAUAUAAAUUAAGCAAUUUAUUAAAUAUGUUAUAUGCAUAUAAAUAAAAAGGAGUAACGAUAGAGGAAUCCGGAACCAUUUUAUAGUGGUCCGGUCCAAAUGGGUGCCCACUCCAUUUCCAGAGACUGUUCAAGAUUUAUGCCUAAUCAACUAUACUUGAAGCCUCAAACAAAGAUUGGUUUGCAAUGGAGCCAACAUUCUUCCAUAAACACGGCGCACUCUUUUACAAAGAAAUGCUAUCAUAAGAUUGAUCUCUCAAGAAUUUGAUUGUAAAGUGUAUACAAGAGGAGUAUUGCAAGUACUAAUAGUGUAUAAAAACAAAAAAUUGUUGGCAAAAAAGGUCACCGACCACCCGAUUUUCUAAUAAGGAGUCACUAACACUUUCAUGAAAUAUAUGGUAUGCUUCCAUCAAAUCUUGUGUUAAAAAAAUAAUGUGUAUAAUUUGCUUAAUUAUAUAUAAUGUAAUACAUGAAUCAAAUGAUUAUACGCAUCGGACCUUUGUGGAAUCAUACAUUCAUGUACAUUUGAGUUCAGAUAGAUGGAGUCCCUACCCAUUGAAUAUAACAUAUGAAUGGAAGUGCUGUCCAUUAAUUCAAGUUUUGUCGUUACUCCACUCCUUUUUCUGGUGUGUGUAGAAUGGAGUGUCGGUGUAUUGUCAGCUUUCUCAAUCUAACAGCUCUCAUCCUGUUGUGAUGUGGAAGGAUAUAAUGUGGGACACCGGCCGACAUUACUCAAUUUUGCUGAAGUUAUCUCUAAAUAAGACCAAGGAAAAGAGCUAUACAAAGAUUGUUAAUGUUGAUAUCUAACAGAGAAGUAUACAAAUGAAAGAAAGGAAAGAGAUGAAACCCAAAAAAACAAGAAGAAAAGAUGAGAAGAUUUCUGCUGUUGAAUUUGACUUAGUUGCUAUUGAUUGCGCAUAAGGUUCAACAUUUUACCCACUAUAAAUUGAAAUUGAAAUUUAAAGCACGUUAUGUACUAGCAAAUGGACGUCCAACACAGUAAAAGUCAUUUUUAAUGACGUUUUACGACGUCAAGUUUUUUUUUAUUACAAUAGAAUAUUGCAAAUCUUUGUGAAUCGUCACAAAUAGUAAUAAAAAAUUUCAAACUUGUGGCCUUAAAGCUAUUGAUUACGGUUAAUACUGUAGACCUUUAAAUGCCGAAGCAUGGAGCUAAAGUUGACGGUAGGGGCAUUGUUAAAAAAGUAGGUACAGCUGAGCCUGACACGGUACAUGAGAUGUGAUGUUGGAACAACAACAAGAUAUGAUGACAUCAUGUUUGAUUACAUUGUUUGGCUUUUAAGGCCCGUUUAAUAAUAAUAUUAUUUUCUAGAAUAAUUUUUAAUUUGCAAUGAUUUUUUUUAUUAAGUUCUUAUGAAUAAGUUCUAUACAAAAUAACGUACUUGGUAACUAUACAAAAUUUCUAUUUUUAGAAUAGAAACUUUUUAAAUAAAAUUCUUAAACUUUUUUGUUUCUUCUAAUUUUUUGAUAUUUUUUUGAUAUUUUUCUUAUUUUAUUUCAUUUUCCUUUUCUCUUCUUCUUCUUCACUUCUUCUUCAUCCUUGGUGGUCAGUGAUUGGCUAGGUGAGGUUCAACAAGCUCACUAGGCCACUGGCAAGGCUUGACCUCGCCCUGGCUUGGCGAGGCCCAGCCUUGUGCCAAUUGAUGAGGCCAAGCCUCGCUGUGGCUAGGCAAGAUCAGCCUGGCUAGGCCACCACCAAGUUAGCAUUGACAUCGCCGGCAACUCUCUCGCGAGGUUGCCAGCCCUCGCCAUGGUUGAGGUUAGUGACUAGCCAAAAGGAAGAAGAAUAAUAAUAUGAAAGAGAAAGAGAAAAUAGAAGAGAAAAGAAAAAAAUUAGACAUAAUUCUAUGAAUUGUUCCUGAGAAACAAAAAAUAACUUUUUUUAUGCUUCUUAAUUUCAUUCCAAAUCUAUUCCCAAAAACAAAUAAUAGAUUUUUGUUCUUGGGAACAAAAAAUUUAUCAAACGAAUUUUUAUUUAUUUAUUUGGGUUCUAGGAACAAAAGAACAUAAUUAGUUAUUCGUAGGAGUGUUACCAAAUAGCUCCUUAGCAUGUCAGAGGAAUAUGGGAUUAUUACCGACGUUUGUGUUAGGUUAGGCAAUACAAUAUUUACCUAGUAUUGAUUCCGACGCUUUAAAAGGCUUUUUUUCCCUCAGCCAAUCAAUAAACCGACCAGAAAUCUAGCCUCCAAUCAGGAUUGUACGAAAUAUAGUCAUAGAAUUUAUCUUGACUUGUCAGAAUCAUUAAUAAUUCAGUUAACAAUAAAUCAACGUUAAACAUAUAUUCGUAUCGAUCAUACGUCCAACUAACGCGGUAAAUGCAAUUUUCAAUGGAGAAAAGUUUCAUGCGCAUAUCAUUAACUUUUUAAGGCGCCCACACAUUAUAGUAUUACCGAAAUACUUAUAAUAUUCUGUGUUUUAGGGGCCCUUUUGAAAUUCUUUAAAAGUUACUCAAGGAAAACAACUAUAAUUUUAAAUUGUAAGUAGCAUAUUUAAGUGAGCUUUAUAAUUAGCAAAUGUGAAUUAGGGUCAACAUAGACCUAGUUGUACAUUUUUUUAGUAUAGUUGUGAAAACUUCUUUUAGAUGAAUAUAGCGUGUAUAGUCUUUUGAAGUCCCUUUAGUCAAAAUCACGGAAAAAAGAAUUACGUGACUUUUACUUCUUCGAAAAAGUGAAAAUAUUGAUGUGAAAUGACACCACUUAAAAUUAUCAAGCUCAUGGUUAGAAUCUUCUGUGCAAUAUCAUCUUUAUGCUAUGGAUAGAUAUGCCAUGUGAAUGCACUUGGAUCGAUGUAGCCAAAGUUUUUGCACAACAGAAUUUUUUUUUUCCAAAUCCAGCAUGUGAAUGCAUUGGGAUUAUAGCAGUCAAAGUAAGAUCACGCGUGAAAUAAGAGAGGGAAGAAAAUAAUCUAGCAUGUGAAUCGCACAUGGAUUGAUGCAGCCACAGCUGGAGCACGCGUGGAAAACAUAAAUCUUGACAUUCCUAAAGAGGAUCCACCAAAUAAAGACACAGUGAUUGCACUUUUAAUUAGCAAUUUUUGCAAUUUCACAUACUCCUUGUGAAGAUGAUCUGCCAGACAUAGUGAUUCAAUAGGUAGUAACUAUUGAAGGGAUCAUAUGAACCACAUAUAUCACAUGAGGUACGAAAAAAAGAGAAUACAAACCAUGUAGUAUGUUGUACUCCAUUGAAUAAGUUUGUUCGGUAAAAAAUGUGACUCAGACAAAUAGCAAGUAGAAACCUCCCAAUGAUUUAUCAGCUCACGAUCUCACAUUGAAGGACUGCAUCACUAUUCGCUUCUCCUCAUGUGUUGUCCUUACAACCCACAAUUCCAUUUUCGUAAAAUUAGUACACCAGUACUAAAGUCCAUGACCUUCAUGCUCGAUUUACCUUUACCUUUUUGGGUAUCAAAGGAGGAUGAAUGCUUUUAUCCCAUCGUACUCCGGCUUGGUGCACAACACCAUAUAAUACACAAGUUUGAUCUCAUGGUGGCAUGUAGCGAAGACAAAGGAAUUAGCAUCUAAGCAUUUGUAUUCUAAUUACAUCCAUAAAGAAAAGUAUUGUAUAGAUUGAUUCUAUAAAUUUAGAUAUGGUGCCAUUUGAUUUUCAGAUAGCCUAAAAUGAAAAUGAUUGAUACUGUAUAUUUAUGUUCUUUGAUACACUGAAAAAGCCAUGAGUAUGUUACGAGCAUAUGAGUAUGUAAAAGGGAAAGGGCCUCUAGGUAAUAAUAUAUUCCGCCAAAUUACGAGCAGAUGAGUAUAUAAAAAGGGAAAGGGCCUCUCUAGGUAAUGGUAUUUUCCACCAGAAGCAAAUCUGCAGCAUCGGGUAGAGUAAGGGUGCGUUUGUUUGUGUUUGUGUUUAAAAAUUGUUCUAGGGAAUAGAAAUAGAAAAAAGUGUUUCUAUUCCGGGGAACAAUUUUUGAACAAAAAAAUGCGUUUGGUAAACUUGUUCCGGGAAUAAAAAAUAAACAGAAACAUGUUUGGUAAAUUUGUAUAAUUUUUUUUAUUUCUUUUAUUUUUUUCUAUUUUUUUCUUAUUUUUCCUUUUUUCUUUUUUCUUCUUUUGGCCGGUCGCCGGCCUCGGCCAUGGCCGGCGACCGGCCGGCGGCCUCGCCUAGCCACGGCGAGGCCGAGCUCGCCGGGCCAAUGCUAGGCGACCCCGACUCGCCCAGAUCCGGCGAGGCCUCGCCAGGGGACGGCGAGCCUCAGCCUCGCCGGGGGCCGGCGAGCCUCGCCGUGGCUAGGCGAGGCCACCGGCCCUCGUCAGCCCGACGACCUGCCAAAAGAAAAAGGAAGAAGAAAAUAAGAGAAAAAAGAAAAAAGAAAUAAAAAAAAGUGUUUCUCAAAUGUGUUUCAGAAAUAAGAAACACAAAUUUUGUGUUUCUUAUUUCUGUUUCUUUUUUGUUCCUGGGAACAAAAGAACAAAAAAAUAGAAAAAGUGUCUAAAAAAACAAAAAAAAAACACAAACAAACGCUGCCUAAGAGGCGAAAGGCAAUCUUUCAUUUCAUUAUAAUUAUUACGAAUCUCGAAGUAGAGCAAAAGUCAAAAAAGAAAAACUUAAUAGUCAAAAAGAAAUCGUACGAUAACAAUGAGGAACGAUCUAAACGGCACUGUUGCUAAACCAAAGGAGUAAGGACCAGCCCGUUAGCUUUGUAACAGUGCUGUUAGGCAUGCUGGCCUUACUGUAAGCUUUUUACCCACCCUCAUUAAUUCCAGAUGCGGGAAAUUAUUAUACUUGCUUAUUCAAUAGUAAUCAGAAUGAAAUUUUUAUGUUGUGUUUACUUUCACCACCGCAAGACUAUUAUUUUCUGUUUAUUUUUAUCUUCAUGAUAGAAAGGGAAUAUACGGAUAACAUUAUGGAGUCUUCUAUCUCUAGAAGGAUCUCUCAUCUAUUUUUUUCUUUUGGGCCAUUUAAGGACUUGCUCAGUCCGUGACGUUAACGGUGAGGGACAUUCAAAAUGAAUGUCCCACUAAAUAAGGAAUCAGCAUUUCCCAGGAUUAUAAAAGGGAAUGCGAUGAUGACAAAUGGGAAUCACGUGAAGGAGCAUAUAGAAAUUAGAUUUUCUCUUUUUGUGAAUCUUUCCUGGUUUUCAAAUUAAAAAGCAGCCUUCCUCAGCAAAGGCAUGAUGACCAUCACGUAAUCAUGCAUGUGCUUUCAAUUCAAUUCGCUACAUUUUUUUUUUUUAAUGAUGCCUACCGUGUCACAUCGAUCAAUAUUUUUUUAAGGGAAUCUUUAAGAAGGGAAGUGUACUGCUUUGGGCCUUUCCUUCUUCUUUUGUUCCCCUCUUUACUGUUCGUUGUGUGCUCGACUUUUUUACGCUAGAAACUUCUCGCUGUGUAAGUACUUGUUUUAUGCCUACUCCAUUCGAUUGAUAUCUAGAAUCACGUGGUGGGGGUCAGAGUCUGACACUGGAGUCGGACUCUGAUGACCAGCAACCGGCGUCCAAUGUCCGGAGUUUGACGUCUGACGUUCAACAUCUGGAGUUCAGCGACAAGAGAUUGGCGAGGGGUGGUGGGCAGCUGACAUCUGGUGGCCAGUGGCGAGUGGUGGAGGGUCGCCAGCAAACAUUCGGUGAUUGGUGAUGAACCUUUGGCAUUCAAUGAUUGGCGAUGAGCAGCCAAUGACUGGUGGGUGUCUAGCAUUCAACGACAGGCAACCGGAGUGCGGUGGCCGAAGCAGCCAAUGUCUAGUGGCUGGUGGUCGACGGCUAGUGGCCGACGCCAGUGGCAGGGUCGGCAACUGCCAGCGGGCAUCCGACAUCCCAUGGGCAGCAAGUAGGUGACGGGCGGUGACCAGAGUGAACAAUGAGAAAAAUUUUGAUUUCUCAUUUAUGUUCUAGAAAUAGAAAAACUAAAAAUUUUAACUUUUAAUUUCUGUUCCAAAUCUAUUUCUAAAAUAGAAAUUUGUUUCAGAAAUAGAAAAAUGAAAUUGCGUUAUCAAACGGAUUUCAAUUUCAAACAUGUUAUGGGGAACAGAAAAAUAGAGAAAUAGAAAUUUUGUCAUGCUCGCUCUAAGUGAGCGGGUAAGUAAAUGGCCAAGCAGAAGUAUGAGUGCAUCAACUCGAUUUUCUUGUUCGUAAAUCUCCAUUCUCCGCUACAUAAUUUUAGUGAAAAUUUGCACCUUCAUCACAAACAAAUAGGAGGAGAGAGGAUCACCUGGUCUUAAUCCAUUCUUUCCUAUUAAAAAAGCCAGCAAGCUCUAGACUAACAAUUAUAUAGUAUUUUGUAGGAGUAGUAACGGCAUCUUUCCGCCUAAGUCAAGAACACAGUGUGGGAACACCAAUUGCGGUCAACAUAUUCAAAAAAAGAAAAAAAACCUUUAACCUUCGUAAGUCAAGAAUGUAAUGUGAACACAAUUUGUCUGUUUUCGGUUUGAAAUGAGGGAGGUGUGUGAAAAGUAGAGGGUCGGUUCGUUGUCAUCUUUAUCAAAUCAAACAGCCUUUAUCCUGUUGUGACCCUUGAGGGAAUGUAAUUUUGGGACACUAGUAAAAUUACAAAAGCUUAUAAAAUUAUCUGACGAAUGUUGCUUUAUUAAAAAACAGCUGGAGUAAAUCUCAGUAUAAUUGUGGCGAUGGUGAUGAUGAUUUUAGAGUCCAAAAUUAUCGAUUUGUCAAAUUUAUUCAUAUUUCAAUUAAUAAUAAAUCAAUAUUGAACAAAUAUUUGUAUCGAUCAUGCAUCAAACUAAUGCGGUAAAUGUGAUCUUCAAUGAAGAAAAGUUGCAAGGCCAAAUCAAUAACUUUUUCAGGUAGACACACACACAACAAUAAUAUUACUAAAAGAUCUUAUGAUAUCCUAUGUUUUAGCCAAAGCGGUCCUUUUAACCCUUUUGAAAUCAUAUAAAAAAUACUUAAGUACAACAAUAAUAAGAGACAUAUUUGAGUGAGCAUUAUCAUCAUCAAAAAUGAAAUCUGUAGGUUUUUAGGAUGGUUGUGAAAUUUUUUUUCAUGUGAAUGAGACGUACAUUAGUUUUUCAAAGUCACUUCAGUCACGGUCAAAAAAAAAAAGAAAAGUCACUUCAGUCGAAAUCACUAAUAAAAUGAGUUACGUGAUUUUUACUUCUCUAAGAAUGACAUUGCUUCGAAUAGUCAAGCUCAAGGUUUGAAUCUUCCAUACAUAUCAUGCAUAAGUAACACAUAAAUCAAACGUAAUUAGCCCCUUUAAAUAUUUCAUUUUCUCAACAAAUAAUAAUAAAGUAAAAGAGAGAAGAAAAUUUUCAAAUGUGUUAAUGCACUGUGAAUAAUGCAGCCAAAGUUAAAACACAUGUGGAAUAAGAGAGAGAAGAAAAUAUUCAAAUCUGGCGUGUGAAUGCAGUGGGACCAAUGCAGCCAAAGUUAGAUCACAUGUGGAAUAAGAGAGAGAAGAAAAUUUUCAAAUCUAGGAUGUGUUUGUUUUGCGAAAAGUAAUUUUCAGGAAAAUGUUUUUCUCAUUUUCUAAUGUUUGAUUCAUUUAGAAAAAUGAAUUAACGGAAAAUGUUUUCCUAAUUAACAGAAAAUGUUUUCCUUUCAAAACUUAAAUUUAGGAAAAUAUGGUAUGGACCAUGUGCUAUGUUGUACUCCAUCAAAUAAGUUUUAUUUCAGAAAGAAAUGUUGACUCGGGACAAAUAGCAAUUCGAACCUGCCAAUGAUUUAUCAAGUAUGCUUACGAUCUUACAUUAAAGAAACUAAAUCUUGUCAAGACAAAUUUAAAAAAAAAAAAAAAUGGUCAGAAAGGUAGUCAAGGACCUGUGGGGCCAAUGAGGUGCGAGUUAUCUUGGCUCUCUAGCGGCGAAACUAGUAUCGGUUUGAGGGAGACGAGUUCAAUUCGUGAACGAGAGUUAAAGGAUUUCGUUUUUUGGUUACUUUAAUAAAAAUUAAAGCAAAAAAAAAAAAAAAACGAUUGACCGACGUCUAAAAUAAUAGUACGUGCGUGAGGGCUUGUGUACUUUAAUGUGCACGUAAGGAAAAAAACAAAAACAAACUUAAAAUGACAGAACUUUCGAGUAGUGAUAGUCAUAAUAUGCAAAAGAAAGAAAGAAAACGAGGACAUUUUUUCGACAAAAAGAAGUCAUGAUAUUCCAAAGAAAGAAAGAAAGAAAGAAAGAAAGAAGGGCGAUAACUCAUUGAUUUCAAAUGUCAUUUACUAGAGGGUUAAUACUAAGAAAAAUAUUAAAAUGGUACACCUGUAAUAAAUUUAUUGUAAAUUAAUAACAAAAAUAUGUAACCGAUAUAUUUAUGAUAAAUUUACAAUCAAUUAUUUUCUAUUAAAUUGAAUUGAUACCACUAAAAUUAUAAACCGAUACACUUGUAAUAAAUGAAGGGUAAAACCCAAAACCGAUACACAUGCUAUUUAACUCAGUAAUUAAAUGAUAAAAUUUAACGAAUGAUUAAAUGUAUUAAUUUGGGGUUCUUUGUGAUUAAAAAAUUAAUUUGAGAUAAUAUUGUCAUAAAUAUAUCAAUUUGAGAUUUUUCGUGAUAUUAACUCUUUACUCAAAGCCACAAUCAAGGAUUUUACUGGAGAGCUACUGGAGUAUAUUUUAACUGAGUUGAUAUUCCCAGUUAAUAAUAUACUACAGGGAAAAUAAAUCCAAAAACUAAUAAUAAUAAAAAGGGGCUGGUCCCACGAUCAUUGAUCGGUCAAAUAGAACAGCUUUGACCAAAUAAAUAUAAUUUUUUGCUCGAGUGUGAAACAGAGUAGCAUUUUCGAUCACUUUUCAAUUGUUUGAACCAGUUUUAAAGUGACUAAGUUCCAAGAAGUCGCCUAAAUAUGUCGAUCCUUCAAGGUCGAGUUUCCGAUCGGAGAUAAUUUUGAAAUUUCACAAAAACAGAUUUUACAGAAAGAAAUGACUCCUUAUCUCCAUUCAAGAUCAUUCAAUUAUUAGCAAAGUAUGAGUGAGUACGGCCAAACAAAUUAUGAGUGCGUAAACUUGAUUUUCUUGUGCAUAGGUUGAAAUCUCAAUUGCUUAUUCUCUGCUGCAGAAUUUUAGGGAAAACUUGCACUGUCAUCAGUCUGACUAAUGAAGAGGUGGGCCUUGCAUGAGCUUUGUCUUUAUCUUUGGAGAGAAACGAAGACUGGAAGCAAAGGAGAAGAUGCGAAAAAAAUGAAGGAAGAAACCUUCGGGCACGAUGUGUGGGGGAUUGGUGGUGGUGAUUUGUUUUUGGGAUUUAUAAUUUUUACAAAAAUUUUUUAGGCAAAAAUAUUCAGGUUUUGUCUGUUGGACCAAUCAUACACCUACUAGUUAUCAAAAAAUUGGCCGACCACCCAUGGCAACGAUGUAGUGAUUGGGCGCUAGUUCCUUUUACGAGAGGUCCAGAGUUUGAAUCGCUGCUUCGUCAAGCAAUUUACCCGAGGCAACAAGGGUGAUGGUGACUCUACUGCUCUUUCAGGGUUUACUUCGCCGCGAAAUGGCGCUCGGAGGUUCCCUGGGUACCCAAAAAAAAAAAAAAAAUUUGGUCAAUCAGCAAGCUUGGGCUCCUAUGUAAGAUUGAUUUAGUCAUUUUAGGCAAUUAUUUGAUUAUAUUUAGUUUAGGCUUUUUUUGUAAAACAAGUCUAAUCCAUCUCCUUGUUUAACAUUUUCCUGAAUAAUAACAACUGAGCCGUUUCUGUUUUUAUAUAUAUAAAGAAUAAAAAAUGCCUUGGAAUCGCUCAAGAUAUGAGCAUAUAGAAGGAACAAAGUGGUGGGGGCCACAUGCCCAUCAAAAUCAACUUGAUCUUUUUCCCUUUUCUGAGCAAAGCCGCGUGGAGGGUAGCUAGCACGAAACUGAGAGCAAACAUUUCCUUGCACUUUUGACUAAGCAACAAAGACAAAUAAAAAAGGCGAAAUCUCAUCAAAUCACAUGAAACUCAUAAUGACCGAUAUAAUUAUUACACUCAAUUGACAUUAGCGACGUUUAUAUAUGCAGCAUAAAUUUAGAUAAUAACAAAAUAAGCUAAACUCUAUAUGUAAUGCAUCCCGUGAAUGCUUUACACUUUUGAAAUACCAUUCUUCAUGAAUGUCUAAACGGAAAAAAUUCAUUUUUGGACUAAAUAAUCUGAACAGGAUGUGUUCUUUUAUUCCUAGUCAAAGUCUUUCUUACAAAUUCUCAUACCAAGUAUCGAAUGCUUUUGAAAAUGAUUAGCACUUUGAUUUGAUAGGAAAUGACAUCACCAAGCAUAUGAAUUCCAAAAAAGCAUCCAAUGAAUAAUCCCCUAGUCAAGCGAAAGAUUCAUCACUCCAAAGUAAUAGAAGAUAAGCUACUAGUGUACCAAUUAAUCAUUGAGAGGUGUUCUUCUAGAAAAUUUCUCACGUCUUUGAAUUUAUACAUUAAAACCUACUGCAUUACUUUCAAUUGAACAAAAAGCUUGAUCUAUUCUCAUGCCCGAGCUAUGAAAACGAAAAAGAUAAUCCUUAUCCAAUUUGUAGUUAGAUUGCCUAAUGCAUAGAAAAUGUGAAACCGAUUGUUGGUGAAGGUGUGCUCAUAUCAAAGCCCUUCUCUCAAAUCGGCACAAGUAUCUACAUACAUGCAUGACUAAUACAUCUUGUGUAGGAUGUUACAAUUGAUUUACAUGUCAAAGCUAUCCCCUCGAGUUACCCAAUAGGUCCGCACUCUAAAUUUGGAUUUCUCCAUUCCCAUUAUAUAUUGAUUUAUUGGAAGGCAUGGCAAAAAAUCAUGCGAAUUUUAGCUACCAAAAUGGUAGUAUACAACAAAGCACGCUAGCGACAUUUUCCCGUGCCACAAUACAUCAGUUCUCAAGAAUAGGAUCCCAAGCCGAGCUUGCUGAGCCCACCGGGAGCCCAUCGGCACCGCCUUCUUCUCUCCAAUUUCCAACCACAUCCUCUCAUCUGCCUUGCCCACAAAGCUGGAAAUUAAUAUAAUAUUCUUUGUUGACCCUCAAAAAAGAAAGUCAUGACUCUGCGUGCAAAGAAAAUACCGAGAAGAUUCGAUGGGGAACAAAUCUCACUUAUUGCGAAUAUCAUUUCCUGGAAGCCACAACCAAGUACUUUAUUGGGUGGCCAAUGGAGUAGCUUACCUUUUAAGAUCUCGCUUCAUCCUUUAGCACCUUCAUUUUCCAAGCAAAUACACCAGCACCUGCCUCCUUUUACCAAAUUAUGAUGGCCUCUUCUUCUUCUAAAGCUAAUAGGAAUUACGAUGUCUUCUUGAGUUUUAGAGAUACCGAUGUUCGCAACAAUUUUCUUAGUCAUCUCUACAUGACUCUAGACCAAAAUGGCUUAUUCACUUACAAGGACAGCGAGGAACUGAGAAAAGGAGAGCAAAUAUUGCCAGCACUUAUGAAGGUGAUUGAGGAAUUGUGAGUCGCGAUCAUCAUUUUCUCUUAGGAUUAUGCUUCCUCACCAUGGUGUUUGGACGAGCUGGUGAAAAUUAUGGAGUGCAAAGCAUAGAAGAACCUAGUUGCGCUGCCGGUAUUUUACAAGGUGGAACCAAGAGAAGUGAGAAGGGGGAGAGAGAGCUAUGGGAAAGCUAUGGCUAAACAUGAGUCCAACUUUGGGACGGAUUCAGAGAAAGUGAACAGAUGGAAGAGAGCUCUCUUAGAUGCCGGUAACUUAUCUGGAUGGGAUUUGAACGAUGGGUAAGUAGUAAUUGAUGUAAAGCACCACUUUGUCAUUAUUUUUUAUAUGUUGAAUCACAUCUUUUCUCUCCAACCAAAUAAUAAUAAUAAUAAUAAGAUCUUUUUUCCCCUUUUUUUUUCUUUUAUGAAACUUAAUCUUACCUUUAAACCACCAAAUCAAUGUAUCAAGUACUUUUCUUGAUUUUUCCAGAGAUGAAGCAACACUUAUAAAGGAGAUUGUGAAGGAGAUCUCUAAGCAGCUAGAACCCACGCCCUUUCAUGUUGCAAAGCAUCCGAUCGCCAAGUGGAAAAGCUGGAAUCAAUGUUAAAUAUUGAGUCUGAUGAGGUUCUCAUGAUAGGAUUAUGGGGACAAGGAGGCAUAGGGAAGACUACAUUAGCAAAAGCCCUUUAUAAUGAUAACUUUAAACAAUUUGAGGGUGCAUGUUUCUUGGCAAACGUUCGAGAAGAUUCAAAAGAUUCCAAGGAUUUACUUCCUUUGCAAAAAAAAAAAAAAUGUUGGAGAUAUUAUUGGGAAAAGAAUUUAAUUCAACACAGACUUUGCUGCAAAAAGGUUUUCCUUGUUUUUGAUGAUGUCGAUGAUGUAAAACAGUUAAAUGCUUUAGCAAGAGAAUGUGAUUGGUUUGGCAAAGGAAGUAGAAUCAUCAUUACUACUAGAGAUAAUCAUUUGCUAACUUCCCAUGGGAUAGAUAAAGAUCAUAUCUAUGCAGUUAAGCCUCUAAACAAUUGUGAAGCUCUUGAACUUUUUAAUAAGCAUGCUUUUUUGAGAUACGACAGAAUAGUGAUAAGGAGGGAUCUUGUAGAUGGUGCUUUGGAUUAUGCUAAUGGACUUCCUUUAGCACUUGAGACACUGGGCUCUUUCUUAUGUGGUAGAGAAGAACCUGAGUGGGAAAGUGCGUUGAACAAACUUGCCAAAAGUCCUAACAAAUCCAUCAAUGAAGUUCUUAGGCUAAGUUAUGAUGGACUAGAUGAUGAAGAAAAGGAGAUCUUCCUUGAUAUUGCAUGUCUCUUAAAGGGGAGAUAUAAACAGGACAUUGUGAAGGUUCUUGACUGUUGCAACUCUUCCACAACUAUUGGAGUAAAUGUUCUUGUAGGGAAGUCUUUGAUAUAUGAAGAGGGUGGGGGGGGGGGGGGGGGCUACAAAUGCAUGACUUAAUUCAGUUGAUGGGCAUGGAUGUUGUUAAACAAGAAUGUCAUGAUGAUCCUGGAAAACGUAGUAGUUAUGGCUUUAUGAUGAUGUUCGUGAUGUUUAGUCAAAGUAUAUGGUAAGAUUUAUUGGUUUAGAUAAUGAUUUUACUCUUUCAUCCUAUGAUUUUUUUUUAUUUAUUUUAAUUGCAAUAUGAUUUUUAUAAAUGCAGGGAACGAAUGCAAUAAAAGCCAUAGUUUUGCGUUUACCCAGGACAAAAUUGUUAUACAUAGGCCCAAGUGCUUUUAGAAACAUGACAAGGUUGAGGGUGCUCAUCGUGAUUAAUGUGCACAACUCUUUUCAAGGUCCUAUGUGUCUUCCUAAUGAAUUGAGAUAUUUUGAAUGGCCUGAAUGUCCUCCUUGGAUUCCAGAAUUUUCCUCGGGUCCAAAGAAGUUAGUUGGACUUAAUCUUAGUGGAAGCAACGUCCAAGUAGCGAGGACGCAAUUCAAGGUGAGCAUUUAAAUGCAUAGUCUUUAUUUCCUUAUAUUUUAUAUAUCCAUUUUUAUAUGGAUAUGAAUAUGGAUAUGUUGUAUUAUUGAACCCACCGGUAGGUAGCUGUGUUGGUUGAGAGUUUUUCCCCCGAGAUAUCGACGCUUGGUCCGAGGUGCCAUCUAGGCACUGUAUGGGCCAUGGGUUGCCGAUUAGUGUAAGCGAAAACUGGGCCUGUCGGUUAUUGAAAAAAAAAAUGCUGUAUUAUUGAAAGCUUUGAAUGCAACAAUUAAUAACUCUGAUGGUGCUUGUUAAUAUGCUUAAGAAACAUCUACAUCUAUUAAAUUGUACGCAUUUGAUUAAAGCCUUAUAUAUGGGAUCUCGAUCUACUCCAUGAACCAACAUAAGUGGAAUCUUUCCGUUAUAGGGGAGUAUUAAACACUUCCCUUAUGCGAAUCUUGAUUUUGCUUCGAACCAAAAUAUUCAAGAAAAAAGUCCAAACUUAUUUGCAAAAUAUUUAGUAUUGAAAAUUAUAAAAACAGAGAACUUAACGAAUCGGUAACUUUUGAAUACCGAAAAUUGGGGCAAAAAGUAAUUGGUGAUAUAAUUUAGGGAAUGAAUGAUGAUUGUGCUUGAAUUUUCAAUAUACAUCAAGGAAGGAUUUAAUUUUAUGUUUUUGAAAGGAUAGAUUUUGAAAAUGUUCUUAAAGGUUCUACCCCAUACAGUAGAGACAAGCUGACUACACUCUUUUGGAAAUUGCGCUUGUAAAGAGAAAGAUAUUUUUCUUGCAUAUUUGCUUGACCAUUGAAGUGGGUGCACGCUAAAUGCUUUUGACUGAACCUUCCAUUGUCCCCUUUCUGAUUGCAUGGAGCGGAUAAUGAAAAGAUACAUAGAAAAUGUGCAGUAAGGGAUCUGUAUCGGAAGCUAGUCUUUACAUAGGUAGGUACAAGCUUGAUAAUUCUAUAACAGUGGCCGAAAAGUCCUGUCUUUUUUCGGUUGGACUAACCUAAUCAGCCAUUCCUAACUAAUAUUUCUUUAUCUUUAGAGGGAGGAAGAAGUGGAACUAAAAGAAAGCUUUUUUUUUUUAAAAAAAUCUUUAUAGAUAAUAAAUUCAUUUUCAAAAAGUUGAAAAAUUUUACCUAAAAAGUCUCUCCUCUUUCCCGUCUUUUUUUUUUUUCAUUCGAGCCAUCCACUAAAGCCCUUACUCUAUUUCUUCGAGAGGUAACGAAACACGGGAUUGAAGCGAUUCUUCACAUCCCCUUGUUGGGUGUCCUCUAGCCUAGCAGUAGAGCAGAAGGGGAAAUAGAUUGAUAAUCCAAUCCUUUCUCCUGCUUAAAUAAAAAGAAGAUUGUGGAGUACGACUCCAUAGAAACGACUUCCUCUGCGAGGUGUUAGUGCUCUUCAGCUGGCUUCAUCUGGCACUUCGAAGCCAGCUGAAGUAUGCACGCCAUAAGUGCGCAACAUCUUUCAAGCUUGACCAAAAGGGUUUUUGUAGAGAGAAGUCAGUAAUAGGCUCACUUCGCUAAUUUAAAUAUACUUAAUCUAAAUCUAUUCUAAGGUUUUUACAUGUAUUAUGUAUUUGUAAUUAUAUUUAUAUGCAUAUCAUCUACAUUAGUAUAUAAAGCCAAGAGGACGUUCCACAGGAUCUCAAUUUUGUUUCUUCACAAAAAUGUGUCGAUUACUUAUUUUGCAAACAUUUUAUCCACAGAAAAAUGCGUAAGUUAAUAAGUUUAUUUAAACUCUCACAUGUUUCCCAUUAGGUGCUUCUAAUUUGGUGGUUUCUCUCAAUUUUUCAAAUAUCAAUUAUAGUACUAUAUUCAUAAAAAGGCGCAGUGAUGAUUGAUGAUAGAACACGAGCAAGGGAUGAGCUCGCUGGAGGUCGGCGAGGCUCAAGCUUGCAUGGCCUAGCAUUCAGCCAAAGAAUAAGAAAAAAUAAAAAAAUAAAAAAUCAAUUUUUUGAAAAAAAAGAAAAGAAAAGAAUAAAAUAAAGAAAUAAUAUUUUUUAAAGGAGUACACGAACCAAACGAUGAAAAUUAUUUUUUAAUUCAUUUUCAGGUUUCAAUCGAACAUUGUAAAUAUUAUUAUUUUUUUUAAAAAUAAAUUCUUAAAAAAUAUUUUCUAAAAAUGUCACAUUUUUUUCAAAAAGAACGGAAUCAUUGUCUUUCAAUUUCCUAUCGUACUUCUCAGUCCCACAGACUUUGGAUUGUGUUGUGUUGACCGAGCAAAUAAAAAAAAGGGUUUUUUUUUUUUAAUCUUUGUGUGGUGGAAAACACCACAACGAAUAGGAAGGACGAGACUGGAUAAUCUAAGUCUUCCUCAGCCGAAUCACCACUUUCGUAUGCCACUCGAAGGUCUCAACACUCUCUUGAUCACUCGUGGACACAAGGAAUCCACUAAAGGGCAGGCAGACAGACAAAGGAAAAUCUGUAAGGGACAACACCCGGGAAUAAAGCUUCAUUUUAAUAAUGCUGUGUUUACAAUGUGGGACCAAGAUGAUGUUUAUAGCUAGUAGCCUAGGAUACCUUUGAAUAGCCUCCAAGUUAAGUAAAAAUAACCUACCUAAUUUUCGAAAUUCAAGUAUGCAAUAAUAUAAUCAAAAUUUUGAUCGAGAUCAAAGCAUUCCUAAAUAUAAUAUAAACAAACUUAUAGAUCAAGAAAAUAUAUAUUUUCUCUACUAUUCAAAUCACAAGAGAGGAUCUUGAAAUCUUCCCAUACGGAUUCGAAGUACUUCCAAUAUAAAUCUUCCUCCGUUGAAAAAGACUCAUCCUCAAGGCCAACUUUAUGAAGCUCCUGGUCUUCGUGAUACGAAGAUAGAUUAAAUUACAUACUCUCCCUGAAGCUCACUUUUGUAACCACCUCAUUUCUUUAGCUCUUUCUUCAGAAUAUCCACUAAAUUAGCGCUUAGUGGGCAGUGGCAUAAGAUCCAAAGAACUUCAAAGAUGUUUGACUCACCGAACUAUCAUCUGCAAAUUCACCUUGAAACAAUAACAAAUGUCAUUGUUUAAAAUGUUUUCCAAUAGUCUACUUAAUAAUUGCCCAAAAUUCUAUUAACAGCCUUAGUUUUUCUAUCGGUUUGAGGAUGGCUAGCAAAAUUAAACUAAGGUUGAGUCCCCUCUUUUCACCAUAGGGAAUGCCAAAAGUGACACACAAAUUUGACGUCACUAUUUGAAGGGGGAUGUUUUUGGAAUACCAUCUAGGCACACGAUUCACCAAUAUGAAAAUAACAUGUAAACCAUCGAGGCUCCAUGACGAUCAUUUUCAAAUUUUUUACCAUAUAAAAACUGUCCGGUAAUCCCCUUCCUACUAAUAGUAACAUUUCCAUUCACAAUGCGCAUGUGUGUGGGAAAGUGUUGAUUAGGUUUCUCUCAAUUGUGGAGUUUAAUUGACAUUCUUGACUUGCCCUAUAUAAACACUCACCACCUUUAUCGAUACGCCUUCAAAUACAAUUUUAGAUAUGACAUUUCAAAUCUCAUUUCUUAGACUCCCUUUCAUUUAAUAUUCUUUUAGUCCUUCGGAAUGAUGUGCUAUAAUUUUAGAAAAUUCAUUGAAAAUUUACCAUAUCGAAAAUAUCCAAAUCAUUAUGGAAUGAUAACUCAUUGAUAAAGGCGUCUCAAGAAUAAAGUAGUUAAACCUUAAUCAAAAGAAGGCGCAAAAAGACUUACCAUGUAUUUGGCGGACGUGCACCAUAAAGGUUUAAUAAAUCACAAAUGAAAUUCAUUUGAUUGAGAUGUCAAAGUCUAUCGAUGCAUCUAUAUUUUUUAUUUAUGCAUACAAAUGCAAGGUAUAAAUGUGGUGGUUGUAUUUAUUAUGAUAUAGUAAACUUUGAGCUCUUGCAUUACGCCAACGUACAUCUAGCUCAAAACAAAAAACUACACAAGACGGUUGGACUCCAUUAUUUUUCAUAUUUUUGUUAUAUUUAUGACCAUCUAGGCUUACAAAAUAUGUCUUCUUUUAAAAAGCGAUCAACCACUCACCACUUCCAAAUAAGUGAUGAAUAGAAGAGAUUCCCGACCUUCCACUGCCUCUGCGGGAUCUACAAGCGGGUGGUUGCGAAUCUCUACAUAAGAUUCCAGAAGUUUGCUUAAAUGCAUGUGAUUGUUAAGUUGGCAAAAGACUGAACGUGGCUCAUGUGCUCUCGCUUGAGGUUACACACUCUUAGUGGAAGUGUCCACGCCAUUCUAGUGCAUAGUGAAAUUAUGAGCAUUGGUAAAUUUACAAGGAUUACUUACUAAACUCAUAUUUAUAAAGUGAGAGGUCAUGCUCUAUAUAUACUAUAUGGUCUAGUGAAUUUUGAUAACAAAUGGCUUGAAUUAUGAUUGAGUGAUUUUUAUUUAAAAAUCACAGCCAAAUUUUGAAAUGAAUAUAUAUCUCACUUUUUUUCUUUGAUCGUUUGAAAUGCCUAUGCAUGUUGGAUUAUUGUUCUUGUAGGACUUUAAAAAAUUGAAGUUCAUUGACUUGGGUAGAUGCCAGUCAUUGGUUUGCGUGCCGGACCUCUCUUGUACUCCAAAUCUUGAGGAAUUGGAUCUCUAUUAUUGCAAAAACUUAGAGCGUGUCCACGAUUCAAUUGCAAAUCUCCAUAAGUUAUGGAAAUUGAAUUUAGAAUGGUGCUCUAAAUUGCAAAGAUUCCCUGAUAUUCCAAAUAAGAACGAAAGCUUGUGAAAAGUUUAUCUAAGGGAGACUUCAAUUGAAGAACUUCCUGCAUCAAUAGGAAAUCGCGUCUCUCUCGAGACCCUUGAUUUAUUUGGUUGCACGGAACUAGCAAUCCUUCCAUCUAGCAUUUAUAGGUUGCAAAAUCUUGAAUUCCUGGGACUUUUGGGCUGCUCAAAACUAAUCAAGUUUCCAAAGGAAGAGGAAGAUUUGAGUGAACCCCAUGCAAAGAUAGGAUUUUCAGAGUUGUUUGUGUUGAUUCUUGGAUGGUGCCAUCUAUCAGAAGUAGAGUUCCUAGAAAAUCAUUCUUAUUUUCCAUGCUUACGAUGAUUAGAUUUGUCGGGAAACAAUUUUACAAACCUUCCUACAUGCGAAAGACUAAAUAACUUGGAAGAUUUGGAUGUUUCAUAUUGCCAACAACUACAAGAGAUCCCCAAGAUUCUAGAGAAAUUGAGAAGACAAAAGGCAAAUGAUUGCAAAUCUCUAUAUAGAAUUCCCUCCAACAUAUGUGACGUUGAGGAUGUUGAAUUAUAUUCAAGUCGGGAACUAGGUUGAAGAAGAAGGGGGAGUUUAGAAAGCCAUGAGAGAAUAUAACAAAACACUUACUUUACUUCAAGGGACUCUGCCCAACACAAUACAUCAUCUUCGCCUUAUAUAGCAAAAGAGGUCACAAAGCAACAAACAAGUAAGGACCAAAGUCCUUCGAACCAACAAAGGCGCUGGGAAAGACACAAACACCGAAAUUCCCGGUAGGGAAUUAUUUGCACACUAUGAAUAGUGACUUCCUUAGCCUAGUAGCCUAAAGCUACAGUAUCCUACUAUGAACUUUCAACGGUCUCUUUCGUCAUGAGCAUUGUAGUCAUAGUUGGAGUCGUCUGAGCUGUGCACUGUUGCUAGGACAUGUUCAUCAUGUUUUUGUUUGAGUGCUUCAAGGUCUUUUGGUGAGAGAAUCUGGUUCAGCUGAUGUGAUGAGGAUGAUGUUGCUGAUGCGAUGAGGAUGAUGUUGCUGAUGCUAACUCCUAUGCCUAAUCUAUAGUGUCUUCAGUGUCUUCAGCCAAUUGGAUGGUUGUGCAUAGAAAGAUGUGUUGCUUUGGGAUAAGGUCAAGGGUCCAUGAUCAUAAGAGUCUUGAGAAAGGUAAGGGUCUUGAGAAAGGGGAUCUCCCCAUCUGGCAUAGGGAUCCUGAGUGGACUGGUCCUGAAAGGAUUGUGCAAUAUCACUUGUUUUGCCAACUGGUGGUCUUGUGAUGAUGACGCUUGUCUGAAAUCCUGGAGUGCCUGCUUAGCUUUUGGUGCUAGGUCAUAAUGAUCCCAUUCGGUGGGUACAUUAUAAUUUUAUACAUUCGGAGGAAUGGUCUUGUUUUCCUAGCAUAAAAUUCUCUGGAGUUCUCGAUACUGAUGUUCACAACAUCCAACUGGUCCUUGAUAGGAUAUGUGAAUUCGAGUUUCUGUGUUGAGUGGCCAGGGUUUAUAGGAUGUGGUUCCUAUAAUUUGAGGAGCUUUGAUAAUGUUGCCAUUAUUGGCGACAAAAUUCCAUGGUCGACGGAAGAAUAAAAUUGUAUAGACUUCAGGAUUUGGCUAGGUGAUUGUCAGUUCUUUUUGUAGGAUAUAUUUCCAGUGAGUGGGAGGAUAAAACCAGUUAAGAAAAUCUAAGAGAUUUCUGUCACUUUCUUUUUUGAUUUUACUUCUGCCUAAUUGAAAUAUCCCGGUGAGAUUGGCAAUGAAUCCUCUGCUUGGAAUUUCAAUGUCUAUAAAGUACUUAUUGGUUAAGUACCAUAAUAACCAUCGUUGUUGAUCAGGAAAAUCAUCUUUCUUCCAAAUCAAAGGAUGGAUAAAUGGAUAAUUUGCAUUUAAUCUAAAAGGAUAAAGAAUCGAACCUCCAUUGGAUCUGAAGAGUUCCGUGUGGCAUUACCACAUAAGUUUGUCUAGGUUUUCAGUGAGGUUGUCAUUCUGGAUGUAUUUGAUGAUUUCCUUUGGGAAUUUCCAACUUGGCCAAUCUUUGAUCUUUUGAAUUUUAUACUUCUCAUUCCAAUGAGAAGUAUGAAAAGCAUGCCGCAUGAUAUAGUUGAUUUCUGCUUGUGCCUUUGGUCUUGACAAAAACUUAGUAAGCACAUUCUUUUUUCCAACAAUGUGUUUGGUUUCAAAAGAAUAUUUUGAAAACUAUUCAGCUCAUCUAAGAAGUUGAGAAUUGGGAACUUGCUUCUGUUUGAACUUAGUCAUCUGAGGAAAUGAUGCCAUGUCUAGUUUAACCAAGAAAUGAUGGCCAAUAAGAUGGAAUUCGAACUUUUUUAUACCAUUUUUGACAAAGUGGAAUGAUAAUACAUCUCUGCUUGAGAAAACUUUUCACUUUUGUAGGCACAUAGAUGUCUCUUACCAUCAAUUUCUUCAACAAGAUGGCUGUCCAGUAUUCAUCACUGGAGUCAGUUUGAAGAAUUCUUAUUCCUGUUGAUGGGAUCUGAAGUGGAGGAAGAGUUUGCAUGAUCUCUUUAAGUUCAGCGACUACUUCAAUCUGAGAUUUUCUCUAAGGUGGGAAUUUCUUUUUCAACAUUGUUUGCAACAGAAUAAGCAAUUUUGCAAUAUUUGGAACAAAAUCCCUGAGAUAAUUGAUUAUCCCAAGAAAUUGCCAAACUUGUCUUGCAGUGAAGUUCUAUUCAGGAAAUUUUAGCAAUUCCUAAGCAAUAUGUGGCCUUGGGUAAUAUGUACCUUUGUUAAUAUGCAUACCAAGAAAUUCAAUUUUUGUUUGGGCAAUAUUUAUCUUUCUUUGAGAAAGCAUGAUUCCAUAUUUCUUCACAAUUUCUGCGAACUGUGCAAGAAGCUAGUAGUGCGACUGCUCAUCGGGGCUGUAGAGCAGGCUAUCAUCAAUGGAUAUUGCCGCAUUCGAUAAUAUUGGUUGGAAAAUUUGACACAUGACUUUCUGGAAUAAGGAUGGUGCUACCUUUAGACUAAAAGGAAGAACUUUCCACCAGAAGUGCUGGUUUGGACAGAACACUAUCUUGGGUCUGUUUUCGGGAUGGAUGCCCAAUUGCCAAAAUCCGGCUUUGAGGUUGAAUUUGGAAUAGAUGUGGGCCUUGAUUAAGCCAGUAAAAAGGGAAUCUUUGGAUGGUAAAGGAAAUUUGUCAUCCUAGAGGAAAAGGUUAAGAGGCUGGUAAUUAAUUACCAAUCUCAUCUUUCCUCUAUUUUGCUUGGCACACCUGUUGACAUAAAAAGCUUCACAAGCUCAUUGAGAAUUAGAAAUUUCAAUAAGGCCUUGCUGUAAUAAUUUCGAGCAUUCCUUUUGAGCCAAAACCAGGUGUUCUAGCUUUAUUCACACGUGACUUGCCUUUGUGGGAUUGAUGUCUUCAUUUUUUUUUAAAGGAAGACGAACAAAAAAGUCUGGAUUUGUCCAUAAAGGAUGGGAACAUUUUUGGGCAAAUUCAUAAUGAGAUUCUGAACAUGAUUCCAACAACUUCAGCAUGAUUGGGUCUAACAAAUUCAUGUGAAUGGAAAAGAGUCUCUGUAUAUUAACAAAUUCAGAGAAUUGGUCUUUAUAUUUAGGACCUUUUCUAGGAAUAAUGCGAAGUUGUGGAAUUUGAGUCAUGAUGUCCCAACCAAUGAUCAAAUCUUUGUUGGGGAGACUAGACCCAAAGAUUUUUGUGGUUAUGGAGCACUGAGGGAAAAACUGAAUGGUUACUGGAGUAGUUUUGAUAGUUGUAGAAAAAGUAUCUCCUGAGGUAGAAUUGAAGUAUCGGACACAGGGAGUCUAAUAUUCUUCAAGAAGAACUUUAGUGUCAAGGAUGGAAGAAGCUGCUCCAGUAUCUAUGAGAGCAAUGACAGUGAUUGGUUUGACAAACUUGGAAGUGAAUAUUUUCACAGGGAAAUGAGAACAAUGAGUCUGACUUGAAAAUAUAUUAGUGCUUUGUUUUGAAGAAGUGCGAGAAAAAUGGGAAAAAUCUUCAGGAUCCAAAUCUGAAUCAGUGUCACUAGGAGUUUGGUAACAAGGAAUGACACAAAGAGUUUGUUCAUAUAGUUUUUCAUCCGUAGAAAAUAAGGAUUUGAUAUCAUCAUUUUCAAGAGAAAUACCAGUUUCAUUCUUUAUAUAAUGUAUUAAACGAUUCUGACAUUUUUUCGCUUGAGGAUAAUUUUUUGCAAAAUGUCAUUUAUGAUUGCAGAUGAAGCAUCGACUUGAUUUCUUAUGGCCUAAACGAUCUUUUCCUUUGUAGGUAACGCCACUUUUUCUUUCUUCGGAAGUGCUUGGAUCCAUGUCUGGAAUUCUUUUUCCAAAACGUCUUAAAGUGCUUCUUUUUUCUGGAAGGUUUUCCACAAGAAUCAUCACAAUCUCGCUUGAAGCAUUUUAUCUUUAGCUUCUAGCGAGAAUAGGCUGUGUCAAGUCCUCUGUUAUCAUGGACAUAUAAGCCUGGAUCUUUUGACGCUUUACACACAAUUCUUCUAGGCAUAAAUGAAUUUCUUGCUGAAUUUCUCCUAAUGGAACAUCUUGGAUUCGUCUUUGUUUGGCUAGAAAGGUUUUUUUCUAUCAUUUGAGACAAUUCUUCAGGGAUGGACGCCAAAAAGACAUAUUUUAGAUUUGCAUCAGCUCCAACCUGGUAGAAAAGUUUAAGCAUUUAUUUAUUUUAUUUUAUUGGUAAAGUGUAAGAAUAUAUUAAGCAAAGGACAAAUAUACAAAAAUUCGAAGCCAAAGCUCACACUCUAGCUGUGGGAAAACAGGGAGAGUGAGAGGGAGCCAAAUCAAAAGAUACAAAGGCAAAAAGAACAAACUAAACAACCCAUGGCACUACAAACUACCACAAACCAGACUGCCGACCCACAAAGUUUAAGCAUUUCUUGAUAAUGCUUAUCCAAAUCUUUUCUCUGAAAAGAGCAGCAUUUUCACUCAAAAAAAUCUCUUCUUUUGAGUUCUACAAGGUCAAUAGGUUUUCUGACAAAGAAAUGAUAUAUAAGAGUGAUGGCAUACGUAAAAUUUGGUGAGAGCAAAAAAUGAAGUUGGUCUUGUUCUGAGACAGAUGCCCACCACAUUUUAAGACUACCUGUAAACCUUGUGACAAAAUUGAAGAUAACAUUAUACUUGUCCUGGUUGAUUAUGGCUUGAGUAUUCAACCAAGUAUGGAAUUCUUCAAGUCUUUCUGGCCAUUUAUAGUAAGGGAUAUCAUCAAUAGUAAAAAACUGUUUUGAUGAAAUGGGUAUAUUCUGGGAGGAGUUAUUUAGCUGGACGACUUCUGGUUCAGAAGAAUUUGAUUCCAUAUCAUAGUUUGGUGGAUCAACCAUGAAAAUUGGAGAAGUCACAGGCCUAAUGGGAGAAGGAUCAAUGGAUGGUAUUGAGACCGAUGAUGAGGACAAAAGAGAUAUCGAAUGUAAUUCAGUAUAAAUUUUUUUUGGAAAUGCAGGUGAUGCUGGGAAUAGAAUAUGGUCUGUUGGUAUGACAUGAUCAGGCUGUUGAGUAACAUGAUUGGGUUGUUGUUCAUGGUUACUUAAAUCUCUUAGAAAAGAUUCUAAUGGAUUUGAUAGAAUCAUUUGAUUUGGCUCUCUUAUAACAAGAGAGGAUUCUGCAGGCCUCUUCUCCUUUCCUUUUUUGUUCCUUAUGCGAUCCGGUUCUUUGAGACGAUUUCUCAUUUCAGCCACAUCUGUCUUGUUUUGUGUGACAAGAAUGUCUGCAAUUGCAGCAAAAAUGGAUGUUUGGGGGUGGUGAAGGAAUGAUAGAAGUGUGGGAAGUUGAAGCAAAAAUAGAAGUCUGGGGUGUGGACGCUUGAAGUGUCGGGAAAGAAGGGUAUUCUAUUCGUGGGGUAAUUGAAAAUGGAUUAAGUCUCCUUUCUUGAAGGAUUUGAAUUUGCCUUUUAAACUUUUUUAUUUUUGCAUCAAGGCUUUCAAGAGAAUGAUACCCUAAAUGUUGUUCAGAUUCCAAGCAUGCAGCCUCUUCUGGAAAUCUGAAAGCAUCUUCUUGGUGGUUUCAUCAUAUCGUCGAAGAUCUUGUUGCACAUUCCAAAGCUUGGAAUCUAUUGCUUUAAAAGCAUUGUGCCGAAAGAGUUUCCGACUGCCAAUUUAAAACAGCUUCAACCACUGGAAUCUUUUUAUGUCUACCAUGUUCAUCCACAUCUGUAGGGGUAGGUAUCUUUGGAACAUGCCAAUAUCUACCUUGUGGAUCGAUAAAUUCCUCUGAGUCAGGAAAAUAGAGUUUUGAAUUUUCUCAUGCAAGAGGAGGAAAGUCUGUUUCAUGGAACAUGACGAUGGAAGAAGUUGGAACUUCUUUUGGACUAAAAAGUGGGUCGGAAGAAAUUGGUGAAACUUCUUUUGGAGUAAGAAGUGGGUCGAAAUGCUUUUUUGCCCACUUUUGAAUCAGCUUGUAAAAUGGGGAAAGACUUGGCUUUUUCUUAGGAAGAGACUUUUCCUUAAGAGGAGACGGAGGAGGUGAUGGAGGAGGAAUUGAUGCUUUUGAAGAUGAAGCCACAAAUUGUGGAGGUGGGGUUGGUGCGUAGGAGACCAUAAACUGAAACUUGUCACUUUCACCAAGCUCCAUUAAGAUACUUUUGGUACAAAGGGUCCUUUGGCCUUUUAGGUCUUCAUCGAGAUCUAUCAUAUACCUGCAGGAAAAUUGAUUCUGGCCUCAUUGGUUCUAAGUCUAGAUCCAUUCACUAGUAUCAGAGCUAUGGUUUCGUUUCUAACCAUGUCCGUUCCAUGCGCUUAGUAGGUGAAUCUAGUGUUGAGAAGAUCUCUUCACACCAUGACAGAUCCAGAAAUAAUUGCAGCACCCGUUACUCUUGCUCCCUCUCCAUCUUCUUCCACCUCUUCGGAUUUUCGUGUUUCAAAUGCGUCUAAGAUAGACUAUCUUUAUGAAGUCUCUCUUAGUGAUGAAACCAAAAUUUCUGAAACUCAGCUUCCCCUCAUGAAUCCUUAUUCUGCUUUUGCCAAACCCACUUCAUCAUUUUCUCCCAUCCGUUCUAUACGACAACUUAUUCGCCAAAUCCCAAAGGAGGUAAAGGAGUACGUGCAGUCCACUAAGUUUAAUCAACAUCCAAUCCCUGCUACUGAAAAAGAGUACUUUGUUACUCUUCAAAUUCCUCCUGAUUUUCCCAGACAAUGGGCUCAACAAGGUUACUCUCAUGUCUAUUAUGGAGCCGUUCGUCUUGCUCUUACUUUUCAUGGCCAAAAAUGUUUGCCAGUUGUCGGAAGAAUAGCACUAUUGGAUACUCGUUUUCUCUAGUACCAACAUGCUUGUAUUGGCACUGUUUAGACUACGUUGAAUGCUAGAACAGUUUUUGUGACUUUGUAUCCAAAUUUCAACAUAGCUCUUUCAGAUCCACAGUUGCUUUCUUUUUUGAAGGUUCAAGUUCAGCUUACAGGAGCACCUUAGACUGCUGAUUCUGUUGCGGCUACACUCCACUACUAGAUGGUUUAUCGAGUGCAAAAUCAUGCGCUUGACUUAAACUUCAACAACAGAAAUGAAGAUGCCUUAUUCAUUUCCAUGCAAAAUGAUCAAGCAUCCUGCAUCCAUGUCCCCAGACAAAUUCCAAAGAAAAGUUGGCCACUCUUCUUCCAGAAACGUGGAUUAUGCACUAUGAAAAGCUUCAUCAGAAUAACAAGCCUUUCCAGUCUACGGAUUCUGAAUUUGUCAGAAAACAUGAUAGAACUAUUUCUAUCAAAUUUGGCAAGGAAAAGGAAGAAAGCCCUUCUAUCUUCCAAACUCUCUUUAUGAUUGAACCAUGUGUUCCUGAGUAUAUUUCCGAGCAAGAUCCAAAAAAGCUUGUCAAAUAUUUUAAAAGUGAUGAACAUCCUAUCCAUUAUUAUAAAGACAAGCAUGGCAAUUGUUUUUGGGAUCAUUUUUGUCAAUGCUCCUAUUGCUUAAAUUCUCCCGACGGUGUGACAUAUAGCUUGCAUAUUAGGUUGCAUGUUGCAUGUCAUUGUAGUUAAAAUUUUUGUACAUUGCAAGUAUUUUUCUAGACUUCAUUUAAAUAAGAGAAAAUCUUUAAAAAAAAAAAUUACUUGUUAAUUAGAAAUCAUAUUUAGGGUUGAUGUGAAUUAUAAUCUAACAACACAGGUGCUUUUGUUGCUUUAAGGUAAGCCUUGUAAUCUAUUUAUCGUUUUUUUUUUAGUGUUAAAUUGGUGGUUUGCAACCCGCAUGAUCACCUCACAUAUUAGGGAAAUAGAUUUAAAAUCAAUCCAAGCUGCAUUCAAAAUCAUUUUUAAAAAUAAAAGAAAUGGUACCAAAAGAGCAUUAAAGAAGUCUAGUGUAACCAAGUCCCCGUACCUUUAGUCUCUGGUUCGUAGGAGUAAAAUAAUUCUCCCAUUAUUUUACUUAGAUGUCUAAUCGACCUACUGUAAAUUGAUUAGUAAAGACUCCUAGAUAAAAUCCAUCUGCAUGUUUAAAAAACAUGAAUCUUAAGUCGCGAAUUGGUAUAGGCUUGGAAGGACCUGAGCUAAGUUUAAAACUUAGUAGUCCAUUAACUUAAAACCUAGGUGGGUUCACCCUUGAACCAAAUUUUUUAGGUCGCGACAGCUAUGCAGUACAGACUCUUAGCCAAUUCAUGCACAGUUCAAAACAAUCUCACAUGAAUACAGCCUUGAAGAUUGUGAGAUAUUUGAAGACAUGUCUAAGCUUAGGGAUAUUCCUUUCUUGAAAAUGCAACAUGGAAAUGACAACCUAUUGCGAUGCGGAUUAUGCUACGUGUCUUAUGAGCAGGAGAUCUAUCACUGGCUUCUGUAUCAAAUUUGGGGAAUCAUUACUUUUAUGGAAGACAAAGAAGCAGUCUACUAUAUCCUUAUCUUCAGCUGAAGCCGAAUAUUGAUCUAUGGCCAAAACUGUUUGCAAAAUAAUUUGGUUAAGGGGUUUGCUUCUGGAUCUCGGGGUAAAAGUUAAGGGUCUGACUAUACUCUUUUGUGAUAAUGAUUCAACACUCAAACUUGCAGCAAAUCUUAGAGUUCAUAAAGGAAAAAACACAUAGAGGUCAAUUGUCAUUUUACUCGAGAGAAGAUUCAAGCAUGAGUUAUCGAGACGGGAGGGAUCAGAACCACGGAGCAACCCGUGGACAUAUUCACUAAACCUCUCUAUCAAAGACAACAUGCAUAUCUUCUGAGUAAGUUGGGCAUCUUGGACAUUUACAAGCCACCAGUUUGAGGGGGAGUGUUGGAAGAUAUGAUUUACAAGAUUGGUACAGAUUGUAAAUUGAUAUGGAUUAUGUCUAUCUUAAAAUUAAAAAUAUUACAGAAUAAUUAGGAAAUAUACACUUUCUCUUUAUUGUUACUUCUUUUGUAUUAUAUAUACCAUUGUACACAGAUUACAAUAAAUAAAUUGAGGCAUGCAUUUUUCCUCUCCAAAUUCUUCCCUAUGCUCUUUCUUCUUUUUCACCUAGUCUCGUGAUAGAAUUCAAUAUCCAUGCCUUUCCUUUAAGGAGUCCUAGAUAGGGAGUGUGACAUCCUGAUUUUCAGGUUUUGAUUUCAAUCGGAUAAGUUGGGUACUUCAUCGACACGACUACAAUGCUUUUCUCUAAGAUAGCCACUCACGAGAUAACUAGCCUAUCCGAUAAAGCCAUUAAAGGAUUCUAAUGCAAUAGAUUUGAUAAUUUGACUGGGAAUUGGCUUCUCGACCGUGCUCAUCUUUAAAGGCCAUUACGGCACAGUAUAAAAUCGAUUUGAGAUUAGAGAUAAGUCGGUUCAACUGAGAUGUGUGACCGAUCGUGGGUAACUCCACUCAAUUAGAAAAUUCUCGUCAACCGGCACUAGUUUAAUUUUAUUGUCGUUUUGGUACCCUGUGUUCGUAUUUGAAUCCUCGAGAUUUUCACAACAACCAAGAGUUACCAAUGUGUGGAAGAGGUACGUGUGGUUCGAAGAAAAUCAAUCAUAGGUCAAUUGCACCAAAAAUUCCUAAAAGCUACAUGGUAGGCAAUGUCACAUUAAAAGCGUGUCUAAUUGAAAUUACUGCAAAUUUUUUAGAAAUUGAAAGUCCUAUCAUGUCAUGAGUCAUUCUAGGAACGUCAACUCACAUUUUGAGGAAUUUUAUAGAAAAUCAAGAUAGACGAUUCAAAAAACAAACGGAAAUUCGGAUUGACUAAUUUGAAGAGAUUUUGGCAUCUGGUGUGAGUGAAUUGAUGGAUGGAAGUUGUUUGGGCUUUUUAUGCAUUCAAAUCGGACCCCAAUUGGAGAAGUUUGUUUAGAAAAUCGGAUUCCGAGAAAAAAAAAAUGAAAUAUAAUUCGAAAUUGAGGGAAAAUCGUAAGAUUGAGGGACCAUGUCAUUUUGGUCUUUAAUUGGACUUCGAAUUGUGCAAGAUGGUGAAGAAAUUAGCCCUAGGGUGACCAAUUGACAACGUUGUGAAGUUGAGUAAAAAUAUAAUUUGUUUUAUUUUUAUGUCUUCUCCCUCCUCAUUGCUCCCACCACUCUCACACUCACCCCCCUUCAGCCGACGUGCCUCCCUCCUGUAACCUUCCAUUUCAUUUCCUCUAUUGACUUGGUCUUCUUAACUACCAGCACGUGAUAUUUUCCUCUCUCUUAGGGCCUGUUUGGCAACAUGCCAAACAGUGCUUGAUUCUAAUUUUUUGUUCCCAAAAUUAGUAUGGGACGAGUAUCAUGUUUAGUAGAAUUUUUGUUCACGGGAACAAAUUGGGAAGAGAAUUGAGAAUAAAAAAAAAAUAUGAUUCUUCGUCUGAGAAUCAAAAAAAGAAUCAAAACAGUGAAACUCUCAUUCUUCCCUUCCAUCAUCCUGUGAUUGCCGUUCGCCACCACCCGCCACCGUCCGCCGCCGCCCGCCGUCGCCGUCCGCCGGUCGCCGGUCCAGCGAGGUCGCCAAAGGCAAGCCCAGCCACCGGCGAGGCUCGGCCUCGCUAGAUCUGGCGAGGCCCAGCCUCGCUCUCGUGGCCAGGCGAGCCUCGUCGGCAGCUGGGCGAGGCUUGGCCUCGCUAGACGAGCCUCGCCCAGCUAUCGGUGAGGCUCGCCUGGCCAUCGACAAGGCUCGCCCGGUCACUGAUGAGGCUCACCCAGCCCCGCUGGUGACCAAGCUUGCCUCGUCGAGGCUGGGCGAGGCCAGCCUGGCCACCGGUGAGGCUCGCCCAGUUGCCAGUGAGGCUUGGCUGAUGAAGGCCGACCUCGCUGAGGGCCGGCGACGCUCAUAACACUCUGAUGAGCGUCCCAGCCCUCGUCUGGCCGGUCGCCAGACCGGCGACCGACCANNNNNNNNNNNNNNNNNNNNNNNNNNNNNNNNNNNNNNNNNNNNNNNNNNNNNNNNNNNNNNNNNNNNNNNNNNNNNNNNNNNNNNNNNNNNNNNNNNNNAUCACUAAUCAAUUCUAAUCUACAACCUAAUUACAUUUAAUUAAAACUAAUCAACCUUUAAGUGUAAUUAGCACACUAAGGAGGCAUUAGUGAGUAAAACUCACUUGGCAAAACGAAGAUUGGAAACCGCGAUGGCGACACGACGGCGGCCGAACUUGGGCCGGGCCAAGAACUUCACAAGCCCAAAGAAACUCUGAGCUAAAAAAAACAAGUUGAACUUGGGCCUGAGCUUGGGCUUCAAACUAAUCUCCAAUGGAUUGCGGACUGAUCUUGCGAGCUGGGCCGAAAAACAACUUCAAUGGGCUGAACAAAUAAACUGAGAAUGGGCCGUUCUCUUGAGCCGAACUCCACAUGGGCUUCAAUUAAAUUAAAACCCCCAUGGACUGAAUUGCUGCAAUUCACGUGGGCUUCAAGUCUUCAAUUGGGCUGAAUGAAGAAGCAGCUGUGGCGUUGGGCUCGGUCCAGCUAGUGUGGCGAAGGAAGACCGAAGCAGCUGGUCUUCGUUGAGGAAGCAAUCCACGCGAUGAAGUAAAGAGCAACCAUCAGCAGAGAGAGAUUCGGUUGAGGGGGGCUUCGACGGUCUUCAGCUGGCGUGCGUUGGCUUUGCGGAGGGAUCGUGGGCUUCCACGGCAAUGAGAUGGAGAAGCGGACGAGUGGCAGCAAGCUAAGCGGAAAUUGAAGACGUUGGAGCGGUGCUUCUUCGGUCAAGUUGACUGAACGUGAGGGAGAAACAGACAAGCGGCGAGCGGCUUCGGUGGACGCGGCUUCAAGGGGUCAACAAAUCGCCUGGGAGCUUUGCUGUGUUGACCUCCUGAGUGGGGUUCUUCGGUGGGGAACAAAAAUUGGUGGAGGUGGCUUCGCUCCUUGCAGCUGGAACGAAGAGGAACCGAAGUGGAGCGGCAAAAUCAAAGGAGAGAGAUCUCGGUGGUUGACUGGAACACCUGGUAGCAAAGUCUUCGAAGGUGGAAACUUCGGUCUCCAAUGGGUUCCGCUGGACGUACGAAGAAGCGUGGACGCGUGGAGAUGGGCAGCUUUGUGUGUCUUCACUCGGUGGGGAGGAGACGUGGGCUUCGCUGGUUGCUGGUCUUUGAUCAUAUGGAGCUGGCGUGGCUCCUUUGAUGUUGGCUUCGUGCGGGGGAAUGUAGCGGUGGAUGAAGUAGAGUCGAGGAGGGGUAGUCUUCAAUGACUGCUCCGUUUCUCUUCAGCUAUGGCGUCGCAUGAAAUGGGGAGAAUGAAGGAGAGACAAUUUACGACAACUAGAGAGAGAGGAUGAGGGAGAGUAGAUGGAUAGAGAUGAGAGGUGAGGGGGCUCCACUUUGACUUGAUUUUUCCACAAAUAUCCCCCACACUCACUCNNNNNNNNNNNNNNNNNNNNNNNNNNNNNNNNNNNNNNNNNNNNNNNNNNNNNNNNNNNNNNNNNNNNNNNNNNNNNNNNNNNNNNNNNNNNNNNNNNNNUGGUCCAAAUGGCUAGUGGAAUGGGGGCACACGAAUUUGCUUGAUACCUCCUCCAAUUGAUCACUCAUUUCUUCUCAAUUUAACCUUGUAAGGCCUCAAUAAAUCCAAGUGAUGCCUCAAUGCUUCAAUUAAAUAUUCUCCUCAUCCAAUAACUCAUCUCGCAUCUCAAUUUUGCAUUCCAUUUUAAUCUCCGGCUCCAAUUGCAUAGAAAUGACAUGAUUAAUUCAAUUGAAAUUAAUACCGAAAAUUCUGGAUGUCACAACUCUUCCCCUCUUAUAAAAAUUUCGUCCUCGAAAUUUAAAUCUUUACCAAUCCAUAAACGAAGGGUGGGGGUAUUGUCGUCUCAUUGAGUCUCACUUUUCCACGCUAGCCCUUCGGUCUUGUGGUAUUGUCCGACAAUUUUGACCAAGGAGACCAUCUUGGUAUAGAAAAUCUGCUCUUUCUAAACCAACAACUGAACUGCACUUCUCACAUAAGACACUUUGUCAUCCACAUCUGAUCUGUUUUCUCGGCUCCUUAAUAAACUUUCGAACCUCAACGAUUCAAAAUUUCUGAUAGUUCUGAGCAAUCUUUACUCUGACACUGGUCUGACAACUGUAGACACUGAUUUCUGAGCUGACUCUGGACUUGCGAUUUUCUAAUUUCUGAUCUCAUCCCAACCGACUGAAAUCCUGUACACUCUGCUUUGCACUGAUUAAAGAGAAACUACCUGACUGAUUAGCUGAAACUGAGAAUCUCUAGUCAAGAUCUGAUAUAACUCGGACACUGAUCUUGGCAACUGCAACCACUGACUACUGUACUGACUUUGGCCUGAAAUCUUUAUUCACUUUCUUUUCACCACUGAAAUUCUGUACCAUCUGCUAUGCACUGCUUAAUAAAGAAUCCUCUGCAACUUUGCCAAAUUUAUAAUCUCUGAUUUAGAUUCGAAAUAUAAUUCAUCCCCGGCACUCCAUGCUGGCGAAUUAUCUGAUGCACACACACUUCGGUAUACCCACUCUGUGACAAGAUAGAAUCUUCAAUUUUUGAAAUCGAAUUUAGAUUGGCGGUUAAUUUCACUCCGACACGCUUUUAGUGUGACCUAGGCUACUGGGUAGUGUUCAGAGCUUUUUAGAACAAAUGACCCAUGGUCGAUUUUCUUCGAGCCACAAUAAACCCACUCGACCCAUUGGUGACUCUCGAUUGUCGUGAAAAUCUCAAGGAUUCAAAUACGGACACAGGGCGCCAAAACGAUAGAAACAUCAAAUUAGUGUCGGUCGAUGAGAAUCUUCCAAUUUAGUGGAGUCACCCACGAUCGGUCAUUCGUCUCAAUCGAACCGAUCUAUCUUUGAUUUCAAAUUGGGUUUUAUACUAUGCCGCAAUGAUCUCUAAAGAUAAGCACGGUCAAGAAGUCGAUCCAUGGUCGAAUUCUCAAGUCUAUUUGCCUUAAGGUCCUUAAUAACUCACCCAGCUAGUCUAGUUAUCUCAUGAGUGGCCAACUCAGAGAAAAACACUAUAAUCGCGUCGAUGAAAUGCCCAAUUUAUCUAAUCGAAAUCAGAGCCCGAAAUCUAGAUGUUACACUCUCAAAACAAGAUCUACUCGUAUUGUACCAAAGUGGACCAACUCCAUAUAUCUAUCAACCGCUAUUCUCAAAUGGUAUCAGUAAUCCUCUGAAUCCUUAGUAAGCCUAUCACAAUGUUUCAUUGUGAUAUAUUUCCAUUUCCACUUAGGACUCUCAAGUGAUGGUAAAAACUCUCCCGAUUCACAUUAUCGAGCUUCCACUUACUGACACUUCUGACACUUGCAACCUGCUCAGCAAUAUCUAUCUUCAUAUCAGCUUACUAAUCUAGCUGAUGCCGAUUCUGCUUUACUUGCACCAUCUGGUCAAGACUGCAAUACUAUAGUGAACUUCUAACAUGGUCUUUUCCUUGAGUGCUACACUGUCAAGUGCACUCAAUUCCUCAUGGAACCCGAAUCAGAAGUCUUAAAGUCAGAUUCUUUCUUGCUAGUAUCAUCUUAUAAGAUCUCUGAACAUCUCUGUCUGUCAACUAGGCGAUGAUUCCAACUUGAACAUUUGGCUCAAUUUUGAGGGUGGCUAUAAAAUUCAAAAGGUAGCCUACCUCAAAUUUGAAAACCAAAUUUCAAACCCUUUUCAAGUAAAGUCUAUACUUUAGCCAGUCUAUGCACAAUUGAAGACUCUCAGCUCAACACAUUAAUUACUUCUUUCAUUCUCCCAAGGUGAUACCAGAUAACACCAUUAUAGUUCUGCCAAAAUUUUGAUUCACGAUACUGUUUCAUGUUCAACUUGUUGGGCCUCAACUGGAGGAACAGUGAUGCAAUAAUCUUCUCAUGUUGUAUCAAUACGUACCCAGUCCUUUACAAGACACAUCACUAAAUACUUCAUGCUUUUCAAAACCAAAUGAAGAGUUUAGCACAAGUACGAUAGUCAGUUCUUACUUAAGCUCUGGAAAUUAUCCUCGUACUUGUCUAUGCUGAUGAAUUUCUCUUCUUUCUCAAGAGGUCAAUCCUGCGAUGAUAUUGAUACUGAAAAUUCUUUCACAAACCUUUUGUAGUAAUCUGUCCGAUCCCCACAGCUUCUGAUCUCUGACAUUGAUGUCGGUCUCGGUCCAUUAACAAGUGAUUCAAUCUUGGCUGAGUCCAUGAAGAUUCCUUUAUUUGUAAUCACAUGAUCAUUCUUAGGGGCUCUCGUGAUCCUCAUCACUUAAUGAACACCCUAGAACAUUGUUACAUCACACGAUCGCCAUUGAUCUAGGUAUUCUUUGAACACUCGGUUUGUCAAAUCCAUGACAGCGGCUGAAGCGUUCGUCAAAUCAAAUGGCUUUACAUUAUUCUCACAAGGCUAAAUCAAGUGCGAAGUGUUGUCUUCAGUAUAACCUCAUUCCUGGUUCUCUACUGACAAUAACCUGCCCUCAAGUUGAUCCUUGAAGACAUGAACACUCUUUAAAACAAGUCGUCCAAUUAAGUUGACAAUGGUUGAUGCCUGAUUGCAAUGAACCAUCUUCAUUUCUCUUUUCAAAAAACUGACGUUCCUUAAAGCGAUGCACUAAUAUGUAUGAAUUCCUCAUUCAUCAAUCUUCACAUCCGUAUCUUCGGUUCUAUCAAUUCAAACAACAAUAACUAGUGAUUCCCCUUUCUUCCACUUAUUUCCAUAAAAUGAAGUUCCCCAAACUUCAUCCAAACUCUGCUACGAUACUCUGAUAGAAUUUUCCCCCAAAACAUUCUUCCUUUGUCUAAUGCCAAGUCGGUUUCAUUUAUGAUCUUCUCACCAUACCUGGAUACUAAAUUCAUCCAGGUUUUCUUCCACAAUUUCGACACAUAUCUGGUGAGUCUUCUACCUCUUGUCAAGUGCUAGGAUGCACUAUUUCUUGUGCCAGAGACCUAUCCCAGAAAUUCCACAGUGCGUUCUAUGGCGCACUUCUCCUGACCUGUCCUAUCAACGGUGACAACAGUAACAGUUGUCGAGAUUCCAUCUACUAAUGCGAACAACCCAUAAAUCAUUAUUCGUACUGGCGACACUUACCACAAUUUCCUUCCUUCAGAAUACACGAGACUAAUCCCUAUCGUCUUUCAUAGAACAACAUGUUCCAUUAAUCUGAAUACUGACCUGACUAUGCCACCUUUCCUAUUGGGUGGAAUAGAAUACCAUUCUCUCAACAUCAGUCUUUACCCUGACCGAAUUCCCAAUAUGGUUGCACUGAAUCUUGAUUCAAAUAUCGAAAUAUAUUCCCUGAUCAUCCUUCCAGGUUGGACCUCAACAAAGGUAGCAACAACAACAACUUGAUUCUGAUCAUAUUGGCUCAUCCAAACCCCAAGGAACACUUGCAUCAAAUCAAUCUUAUCGAGCUUAAGAUCAAUCAAUGCUGCUACACUAGUACCACCCCGCGGUGGUACUCUUACGCUUAAACUGGCUAGAGUCAACACUCUGCCAUCCAAAUCCACAACGAUUAAAAUCAAGCGAUUCACACAUGACAAACAAUUCUACCAAUCAACUAUCAAAAGACAUGCACCAGUCAUGAAUUUAAAGGCCUUUCCUACUACUAUCCCAUAGGUCAUCGCACCUUAUCACUCCAAUACCUAACCAUUGCUCUGAUACCAUAAAAAGGGGAUGUCACGCCCCGAUCCUCAGGCACGCGCACAUCCCUUAACUUUUGGUCGAUUUUAUUAUUGCGAUAUCCCAGGACUAUGUAUCGCCGACCUUUUCAUUUAUAUAUGCACAUGCGGAAGCGGUUAUAAAUCCCCAGACAAUAAAACAAUGGGAUAUACAAGUAGGGCUAGGAAAUUGAACCCGAAAACCACACCAUUGCAAUCAUACACAAGCCAUACUAAUACGAUUGGUUUCUACUCAAAUUGAUUCUAUAACAAUCGUCAUCAGGAUCCUACUCUGGAUCAUCCUCGGGGUUCUCCUUCACGUACUCCUCCUCAGGUUCCUCAACAGGGAUCUCCUCAUCAGAUUCAUGCUCCUUAGGCUCCUCAUCCAGGUCCUGAAAUGGUUAUUCAAUAACCACUGAGACAACGUCUCAGCAAGUUCUACCCUCUAAGACCCGAUUAGUAAACUAAUACACCUUAGGGCUGCCUAUGCACAACAUGAGUCAGAGGACUUACCUUGGCCUCAGAUUCCACCUGCAUAUUAGCAUAGAUCAUACAGGCACCCAAGCAAUCAUAUUAUAGAUCGAAGCAUCGAUCUAAUCGACCUAGUCGAUUACACGCCAAGAAGACCAUUCACGGCCAUCGCUAUUCAAUCAUUCAAUUCACAACAUCAAAUCAAGGCAAUGAAUCACAUCAAGUCACUCUAAGAUCGAAUCAUCGAUCAAUCGACCUAGUCGAUUAUAAGUCAGUCGGACCAUUUCUAGGUCAUUCAUCCAACACCAAGCAAUUCCUUAGAUUUAGUGGCUUUACGGUCCCACCCGACCUUAUCAAUAUCUAGUGGCUUUACGGUCCCACCCGACCUCAUCAAUAUCUAGUGGCUUUACGGUCCCACCCGACCUUAUCAAUAUCUAGUGGCUUUACGGUCCCACCCUACCUUUCCAAGAUUUAGUGGCUUUACGGUCCCACCCGACCCUUUCAAGAUCUAGUGGCUUUAUGGUCCCACCCGACCCUCUUAAGAUUUAGUGGCUUUACGGUCCCACCCGACCUUUUCAAGAUGCCAGACUAUGUCACCGAGCCACGUGCAUUCUCCAGGAAGACAUACCGAGUCUCCGAGCCACGUGCAUUCUCUAAGGCUACCUUUUCGCCAAGAUGACAUAUCUAAUCACCGAGCCACGUGUCCUUCCCAGGUGACACUCCAAUUCACCGGGUCACGGGCAUUCUCCAGGUGAUUUACCAACGCACUUUCGAUACUGACAACCGUUACUCGACCAAUCCUCAAUCACAAGGCCAAAAUUGCAUUAUUUAAUAACAUGCUUAAAAAUGCAUCAUUAAAUCAAUUCGACACGAAUUAAAGCUCAAAUAAAUAAACAGACUACUCCACGACAAUCAGCACGAAAUUCCGGUCACCGGCCAUCCCGGUUGAAUUUCCGGAAAAUAAAUAAUUAAAUAAUUAAUUUCGAAAAUUAAAUAAAUAAAUACAAUAAAUUCAAUUUAGCACAAUAUAAAGCUCAAUUAAAUAAACGGACUGCACCACGAUCAUCAGCAUAAAAUCCCGGUCACUGGUCAUCCCAGUUGAAUUUCCGGGAAAUAAAUAAUUAAAUAAUUAAUUUCCAAAAUUAAUAUUUAAUUCCUAAAAAUUCCACCUAGGCCCGAUUUGCUUAAUUAACACCCGAUAAGGGACGGGGAAAAUCCCAAGAAGCAUCCAAUAAAUACUACAGACAAUUCUCUAUCUAAUUACACUAACCACACAACUAAUAUGCAAAGAAAUUAACUAAUAAUCACUAAUCAAUUCUAAUCUACAACCUAAUUACAUUUAAUUAAAACUAAUCAACCUUUAAGUGUAAUUAGCACACUAAGGAGGCAUUAGUGAGUAAAACUCACUUGGCAAAACGAAGAGUGGAAACCGCGAUGGCGACACGACGGCGGCCGAACUUGGGCCGGGCCAAGAACUUCACAAGCCCAAAGAAACUCUGAGCUAAAAAAAACAAGUUGAACUUGGGCCUGAGCUUGGGCUUCAAACUAAUCUCCAAUGGAUUGCGGACUGAUCUUGCGAGCUGGGCCGAAAAACAACUUCAAUGGGCUGAACAAAUAAACUGAGAAUGGGCCGUUCUCUUGAGCCGAACUCCACAUGGGCUUCAAUUAAAUUAAAACCCCCAUGGACUGAAUUGCUGCAAUUCACGUGGGCUUCAAGUCUUCAAUUGGGCUGAAUGAAGAAGCAGCUGUGGCGUUGGGCUCGGUCCAGCUAGUGUGGCGAAGGAAGACCGAAGCAGCUGGUCUUCGUUGAGGAAGCAAUCCACGCGAUGAAGUAAAGAGCAACCAUCAGCAGAGAGAGAUUCGGUUGAGGGGGGCUUCGACGGUCUUCAGCUGGCGUGCGUUGGCUUUGCGGAGGGAUCGUGGGCUUCCACGGCAAUGAGAUGGAGAAGCGGACGAGUGGCAGCAAGCUAAGCGGAAAUUGAAGACGUUGGAGCGGUGCUUCUUCGGUCAAGUUGACUGAACGUGAGGGAGAAACAGACAAGCGGCGAGCGGCUUCGGUGGACGCGGCUUCAAGGGGUCAACAAAUCGCCUGGGAGCUUUGCUGUGUUGACCUCCUGAGUGGGGUUCUUCGGUGGGGAACAAAAAUUGGUGGAGGUGGCUUCGCUCCUUGCAGCUGGAACGAAGAGGAACCGAAGUGGAGCGGCAAAAUCAAAGGAGAGAGAUCUCGGUGGUUGACUGGAACACCUGGUAGCAAAGUCUUCGAAGGUGGAAACUUCGGUCUCCAAUGGGUUCCGCUGGACGUACGAAGAAGCGUGGACGCGUGGAGAUGGGCAGCUUUGUGUGUCUUCACUCGGUGGGGAGGAGACGUGGGCUUCGCUGGUUGCUGGUCUUUGAUCAUAUGGAGCUGGCGUGGCUCCUUUGAUGUUGGCUUCGUGCGGGGGAAUGUAGCGGUGGAUGAAGUAGAGUCGAGGAGGGGUAGUCUUCAAUGACUGCUCCGUUUCUCUUCAGCUAUGGCGUCGCAUGAAAUGGGGAGAAUGAAGGAGAGACAAUUUACGACAACUAGAGAGAGAGGAUGAGGGAGAGGUAGAUGGAUAGAGAUGAGAGGUGAGGGGGCUCCACUUGACUUGAUUUUUCCACAAAUAUCCCCCACACUCACUCUAGGCCAAGCAUUUAUCCCUUGGCUGUCAUUGAACCACCCAAGCUCUUUCUUGGACAUGUGAAUUGGUCCAAAUGGCUAGUGGAAUGGGGGCACACGAAUUUGCUUGAUACCUCCUCCAAUUGAUCACUCAUUUCUUCUCAAUUUAACCUUGUAAGGCCUCAAUAAAUCCAAGUGAUGCCUCAAUGCUUCAAUUAAAUAUUCUCCUCAUCCAAUAACUCAUCUCGCAUCUCAAUUUUGCAUUCCAUUUUAAUCUCCGGCUCCAAUUGCAUAGAAAUGACAUGAUUAAUUCAAUUGAAAUUAAUACCGAAAAUUCUGGAUGUCACAUGAUUCUUAAAGAUCCAAUUAUCACAUGAACACAAAAUUUUCUCAUGUUCAUGUAUAUUUGACGCGUGAAUCAUGAAAAGAUUCCAAAAAGAGAGAGAGAGAGAGAGAGAAGUUGACUGGUUCAAUAUGCUCAAACAAAAACUAAGAAUGAUGCCAGUAAAAACUUGUUCAAAUUUUUGCUAUCCAUUUUUUGGAAAGGAAAGAAAAAAAAAACAUGAUCUUCCCAUGUAAAAGCGUGCUUAAAAUGAUUAAAAUAAAAUACAGUUUAUUGUUGUUUUAUAAACACAUUGUGUCUAGAAACAUUUUGAAAAAUUUUGUAGAAUAUUCAUGAAAUGAUUGAGUAACAGGUGGUUAAGUAUAUUGAUGCAUGUUAUAAAAAUAUAUAUACGAAUGAAGAAGCACGUUUUCAUCAAGUAAGGUCCGAAAUUUAUAUGGUCUCUAACUCAUAAGAAGAAGAAGAUACCCCAGAACCAUCCAUUGGUCUUCAUCUUUGUCUACUAAUGAAUUGGAGAGUACUUGAAAAUAGAUUACUCUGAACAUUGAUAACGUUGGCAAAGAUAACAUCGACAUUUUGAGAUGAUGGAAGAGCGAAGCCAUCGUUUUUUCAAUUCUUUUCACCGUGGCCUGUGACUUACUAUCUCCACCAGCAUUUAUGAGCCCAUGUCUAAUACUAGCCAACAGAUCAUGGAAGACAAAAGGUGUAGGCAGAAAAUUUAGAAAUGGUUUUUGCUAGACAUGAUUGGUUUGUGCAAGAAUUGACUCUAAAGGAACGUACCCUAUAUGAACAAGAGGACAACAAUGAUAUUGUAUCAUCCGAAUUAUAAUGAAGAACAAGACACCAAAGAUACCAAAUUUAUUAGACAUUCUCUUUGGUAUAAUUUGUGUGUAGUUGUUAUUAGGGCAUCGUUACGUGUGAUUUUCUUUUUCAAAUUACUCGAAGAUACACUUGUAUUUCAAUUAGGUUUAAUUAAUGAGCGGUUUUUAAUUAAAAUUUUAAUUUACUUUUUUUUUUAUUUUUAAAAACUGAACCAACUAGUUUAUUUUUAAAAAAAAUAAAUUCAUGAAAAGAAUUAAAAUUAAUUUAGAGAAGAAAUGGGCCAGGACCAACCGAGCCUGGAACGGCCCUUUGGCCCCUCCUAAAUGGCAUAGCACAAGGACUAGCACUUUCUUCCACCAGGCCUUUCGCCAUAAGGAUUUUCACUUGACGUUGAGGUUCUUCGUGGGUUAGGCAACUUUAUUGGGGAUAACUUCGGUGUUGAAUAUCACGCAUGGGCAGCAAGGCAGCCGGAAUUUCAUCAGGGACAAAAAUUCUAAAUUCUUCCAGGAGUUGCUCAAUCGUCUUAGAAAUUCAAGUGCUUCUUCGUUUUCUUCUGUUGACACUGAAAUUUUGUCGAUGUUUUGGAUAUCCAUUUAUUUUGCAAAAUAUAAAAUUUAUGAAAAAAAAAGGAAUGAUGAAGUAGUGUGGGCCGGCGUGUCCGGCCCACUUAGCAACCUCCGGCCCUCUAAGCUCGUUUCCCCCUCCCAUCUUCAUUUCUUUUGUUUUGAGCCCAUCUUCAUCUUUUCCUAUUAGUCCAUAAAAGCCUUAAAAAGAAGCCCAGCCCAAGAUCACUUCUUCCCCUUCGUCUGCACGAACCAGCAUCUAUGAGGAGGGAGGAAAAGAAAGGAUGGUAUGUGGGGCAGAGGGAACAGGACAGAGGGCAGACCGUCGACCGGGAGUUGGUCGGGGCCAGGCCGGCAGCAGCAGCAGCUGGCACGGCAGGAGGCAUGCGCACCGAAGCUUAAAAGCGAGAGAGGAGCGUGCUGUUGUGAGGGAUGAUUAUUAGGGGGCUUGGCUGAAAUGAGAAAAAUGGUCGACCGCCGACCAUCGCCUCUGUCCACGGUUGAGCGGUGGUAUUCCUUCUCGUCUUGUCAUCCGUCGAAGCUUUUCCGGCAACCAUACGACACCAAAACUCUGCCCUGAACCUGGUGGGAGUUCGCUCUCGAACACCUCAUUUUCGGCCCCGUUUCGUUGAGCACAAGAUCUGAAUUUAUUUCUUUUUGGAGAUCAUAGGACUUUGAUAUAGUAAUAGGACUGAGUUAUAAUCUAUGAUGUGGGUUCAUGUUUUUGUGUGUCGAGAUUUCAGACUCAUUUCGCCAUGAAUGUAAAUAUGGAGCUUGUUUUCUAAAAUGCGCACCGUGCAUUUGUUAAAAUGCUUGAAAGAAGACCGGAAAAAUUCUCAUGUUUAAACUCGAUACCGAUCUCAUUUGUUUCUGUGUUCGUCGAACCCUACUUGAUUUCUUCGUAUUUUGCUGUGUUGGCCUUGCAUGCGCCCCUUCACUAGAGCCCCUUGCCGGCAAUCCCCUCGUCCAUGGUUCAAGGCUAAUCGAGUCAACGUUUCUCUCUAUUUUAACAUGCUUGUGCUUGUUUAUUUGCUGAGUGUGCUGAUAUUAAAAAUAUGAGUCCCGGGUGAUGUUCAUUUUUGGUGUUCGGUGGUCGUCGGUCAGAAUGGAUGAUCAGCGGGAGGAGAUGGCUCGGCGGCGGUAUGUAUGUCGGCAACAAAACACGUGAAAGUUGAUAUCAUCUUGAAGUUGGUGAUUUGGGAAGGAGACGAUCGAAUGAAGAUAGGUUGCAGGAAAAAGCUUCGGCGAGGAAGUGCAGGAGGUUGAAGAUGAUGAAGAAAAAGACAAAAAAAAAAAAACCAGAAAGGACAAAAGAGAGAAAAGAAAUACAAGAAACAAAGAAAAGAGAGAAAAAAAGAAAAAGCCAACAAUAGGGGAAAUAGAAAGUAAAAUGGGCUUCGGGCUUUUUAGUUGUGGGCCGGUCAUCCAUAUGAAGAGAAGGGUUUUGGGCUGGUUUGUUAAGGGCUAGGUUCUUUUUAGAGCUCGGGCCGAAAAAUUAAGAACAAGAGAAGUGUUCUUGGGAUGAUUUAUUUAAUUGCGAGUGGGCUUUUAGGGUUAACAUUUUUAGUCCAACUUAAUCCGAUAAGGUUCGGGUCGGUUUAGUUGGGUCAGGUCUCUUGACCUGGUCCGAAUUUCUUUUAAAUUAAUAUUUAAAAAUAUUAAUAAAAAAUAAAAAAUAAUAUUGAUUAAUAAAAAAAUUCAGAAAAAUCAUAAAAAAUUCAGAAAAUUCUAGAAAAUCAGAAAAAUUAAGGAAAAUCCUAUAAAUUAAAAUCUAAAAUUGCAUAAUCCUCUAGGACUUUAUAAUAGGGUUCUUUGUUUUGAAUUGUAUUUUUCUUUUUAGAGACAAUAUUAGGAUGCUUACGUGUUUUCUUUAUGAUUAUAUUUGAUUACACUUUCAAUAUGUUGGAUGUUAUUUCUUUGCUCUAGAAUGGUUAGGACGAACUUUAGAUUUCUUUUGGAUAAACUACUUUAACAUUAGUUAACAUGAUCAAGCUAGGUAUCGAAAGUGUGUUAGCCUUAAGGUUAGCUUAAUCAAAUCCCCGAGUCUAAAGCUUUUGAUUGUGCAAAUAGUAAGAUAUCAUCAUGCACCUUACUUAGUUUCUACCUAAUUGAAAAGACUAGUGGCGACUCCUUAGUUAAAAUUUAUAUUGGCUUAAUUGAUUAAAAACUUAAAUGCCCGAUGUCAUGUGAGAGAUAGGCUUGGAAGGACCUAAAUUAAUUAAAGGCCGUCAGCUCAAAGUUGACAAUACCUCCAAACCUAAUUGUCUCUCCCAUAGGAAGUUAGGUCGCGACAUCUUCAUGUACCACUAGUGCUCAUGCAACGUGUCUCCUUGUAGGAUUUUAUGGUGUGUUCUGUUGAUUUUGUUCCUUAUUAUUAUAUUCUACUUGGGUGGAUUGUUUGUGAGCAUUUUUUUUUUUUUUUUGCUAGAAUCGACAUGCGAAUUUCCUAGCACAUGAUUGCUACGGGUACACUUAUUCUUUCUAAGUAAACAAGUUGAAAUAUAAUUAUGAUCUUUUCUCAAGAUCAUAUCACAAAUAAAUUGAGGACUCUCACAAAGAAAAAAAACUCACUUUUUUCUUCUCUCUUUUUCUCCUUUCUAUUUUCUUUUUCAGCGUCUUAAUGGCUAGCGUCUAAGUAUCGUUGAUAUAAAUGUGUAGCUUUUAAUCUAAAAGCAAAAUUAAUUGAAAAAACAAAAAAGCUCCUAAAAAUAUUUGGCUUCAAUUGCCAAUAUCAUGAAUAGUUUCAAUGAUGAUAUUGCCAUAAUUGUCUAAGUAACAUAUGACAUAAAUCCAUUAAAAUCGCAUCAUGCCACACUUUGUGGUGAUCUUUAUUUGUAAUAAUUAUUGAAUUAAACAAGGUUGAGGACGUUUACUUCAUUGCUCUCCCUCAACUAUUGUGACCUGCCAGGGUGGGGAUGAUCUUUCAUUGGUAACUUCAGAUUCCUGACCACAACUGCUACAACAUUCCUACAGCCUCUUCCAUCAAUAAUAGCAUUGCAAACCAUGUCAUGUGACGUGCACUUGUUUGGAAAACAUUGUGGUGCCCUUUAUUCGUCACCUCUCUCCGCCUUGUCUUUCUCUUUCAAGAUAGAUCGCUUCCUUCACUAGUAUACACAGUCAUUCAUCUCUCUGUUUCUCUCUCUCUCCCUCCCUCCCUCUGACACACACAAAUCACAAAUCGUACUAAAAUUUCACAAACACAUUAAUAGAAAAACAAUCCGUGAUUUGCAGAAAAAAAAUUCAGUAAAUUUAAUUUUGGAUUUCACAUGGAAAUAGAUAGAAGAGAGGGUGAUGAUCAACCGAGAUUUUGGGCAACGUUGAUGGGUGCCUCACAUGGUCAACGAAGAAUGGUAUGAUCAAUUGUAGGCAGUAGACUCAACACAUUGAACAUUAGCGCUUCAGAAUGUUUAUUGAAGUUGGUUUUGUCGUCUUUCUGCACAACUUAUUGUUUGUUGGAGGGAAUGCAAGAACUUCAAUUUGAAGGGACUGCAUUUAUAGAAAACCUCAUCUCUUUAAAUAAGUGCAAGAAGUUGGCAAGCCUUUCGUCUAGCAUUUCUAGGUUGGAGAAACUGAGUAGGCUGAGACUUGAAGGUUGCUAAAAUUUAUUCCAAAGUAUGGGGAGGACUCAACUGAUUUGUAUGUGAAUGUAGGACUUCCAAAUUUUUCCUUGCUAGAUUCAAGGGAUGCAAUUUAGCCGAAGUUGAGUUCCUUGAAAAUCUUUCCCUUUUAUCCAUUUCAAAUUGGCUUACGAACAUUUUAGAGGUCCUAAAAUCACUUGGACUUAUUUCGGAAACAUAAUUGAGAUGAUGUCCAACUUUGGUUUUAAGGUAUCUUCAUGUAAGCCAUUUUGCUUUUCAUUUAGCUUUCUGGCCCACUUAAAUCUCUUUGAAAAAAUGUACGAUAACUCGUUGCUUUCUGACAAGAGUUUCCUUUUGUUUUGUCCCUGCAACCCGCAAUUCCGUUUACACAAUACCGGAUACAAGAACAAAAGGCCAUGGCUUUCAUGCUCGAUUUUCAUUUACUUUUUUGGGUAUCAAUUGAGGACAAACCCUUUUAUCACAUGAUAAUCCGACUUGGUGCACAAACACCAUACAUAUGAGCAUUUGUAGUCUAAUUAAAUUUGUAAGGAAAAGUAUUCUAUAUAUUGAUUCUGUAAAUUUAUAUAUGGUGUCAUUUUAUUUUUAGAUAAGCCUUGAAUGAAAAUGAUUGAUAGCGUAUAUUAAUGUUGUUUGGUUCGCCGAAAAAGCAAGAGAGUAUGCUACGAGAACGUGAGUAUAUGGAAAGGGAAAGGACCUCCAGGCAACAGUUUUUCUACCAAAAGCUAAUCCGUGGAAUCGGGUAAAGUAAAGAUGCAAAGCAGAGUAAAAGUCAAAAAAGAAAACCUUAAAAGUCGCAAAGAAGUGGACAGGUCAUGAUGAGGAAAGAUCAAAGUGAACGUCCCACUAAGAAAAGUCCGCGUUUCACGGAUUAUAAAAGGGGAUGCGAUAAUGACAAACAAAUGGGAAUCACGCGAAGGAGCAAAUUAGAAAGUAGGUCUCUCUCUCUCUCUCUCUCUCUCUCUCUCUCUCUCGCGAAUCUUUCUUGUUUCAUUCAAAUUAAAAAGCGGCCGUCCUCAGCAAAGGCAUGAUGACCAUCACUUAUCAUCCAUGUGCUUUCAAUGCAAUUUGCUCCAACUUUUUUUUAUGGUAGCCUACCGUAAAAGAUCGUGAUGAAAAAAUAUAUAUGCUUGUGAUAUAGAUAAAUUUUACAUACAAAAACUUACGAAGUAUUUUUUUCUGAGCUUCAUGACUUUGUAGAGAUAUGUACUAAACCCAAGUUGGUUGUAAUCUUCCUCAAUGACUGCGGUCUCGUUUGGUUAGACUUUUCCAAUGAGCUUUGGUAGAAAUUUUUUUUUGUGUUUGGCAAAUAUUUUUGAAAGUUCAUUUGUCAAAUGUGGACAUUCCGAAUGCUAAAAACUAAAUGCUGGGAACGAGGUGCUGUGGGCAUUGGGCAUUUUGGAAAUACAACUGCGUCACUGUUCAUCUUCUCUUCUCCAUCGUCUUCUUCUUCCCCGCCCAUCUUCUUCUCUAUUUAUCUUCUUCUUCCCCCACCUAUCGGGCUUCUCCAGCAACCGCCACCGCCGCUUGAGGGUCACGCGUCCCCGGUGACCACCGCUUGGGGGUGGCGUGACUCGUGACCUAGGUGCUGUCACUUGGUUCCACGCCGCCUGGGUCUACAUGACCUCAAGCUGCCAGAUUUGGCAGUCCAAAGGCCAGAUCUAGCCGCCAAACGGCCAAGUUUGGCCUUUACGACCUCAGGCGGCCAGAUUUGGCCACCGCUGCAACUUGAAGCGCCUGAGGUUGCGCCUCCAAGUGGUGUCGCCUGAGGUCAUGACCUGAGGCGGCUAGAUCCUGAAGUUGAUUUCAGAUUUUAAAAUAAUAAUAAUAAUAAUAAUAAUAAAAGCAAAAGUCCAUUACAAAUGUUAGUUUUGUCAAACGAUGUCUAUGCUAAAGUUACAUUUCAAUGCUAUAUUUCCCAAACGGUGUAACAUUUCGAAAAACCCAUUUACCUCAAAAGUAUUUGCAUUCUCCCAAGGUUAUUUCCCCAAAGCCGAACUAAACAGGCUCUAAGAUUGACAUUCCAAUUUUUCCUUGGGAUAUCUCGAUAAUAGAAGGCUUCUUCCACAAUAAGUUAUGUUUGUAUAGUCCUCAUUCGGAUAAUGCAUAGCACAUUUUGCUUUUCAUUUUUUUCCUUAAUUGAAUCAAAAUCUCAUUGACUAAUGCCAUCCUCUCUAAUGGCUGCCAGCCUNNNNNNNNNNNNNNNNNNNNNNNNNNNNNNNNNNNNNNNNNNNNNNNNNNNNNNNNNNNNNNNNNNNNNNNNNNNNNNNNNNNNNNNNNNNNNNNNNNNNNNNNNNNNNNNNNNNNNNNNNNNNNNNNNNNNNNNNNNNNNNNNNNNNNNNNNNNNNNNNNNNUCAGUUGCAACAUAUAUAAUAGUGUGUGAAAGAUAAUAGAUAGACUGUAAUAACACAUUCUUAACCUUAUAAGUUUGUUAUAGUUACAUAAUUAGCCCCUCUAAAUAUUUCAUUUUCUCAAAAAAUAGUAAUAAGAUAAAAGAGAGGAAAAUUUUCAAAUCUGGCGCGCAAAUUCAUUGAGACAAAUGCAGCCAAAGUUAGAUCACAUGUGGAAUAAAAGAGAGAAGAAAAUUUUCAAAUCUCGCAUGUGAAUGCACUUGGAUCAAUGCAAUCAAAGUUAGAGCACACAUGAAAACAUAAAUAUUCACAUCACUAUAUAGGAUCAUCGUGACGAUCCGCCAAAUAUUGUGACUCAACAGGUAAUAACUGUUGAAGUAAUCAUAAGAACCACAUCACAUGAGGCACGCGAAAAAUAUGGUACGAACCACAUGCUAUGUUGUAUUUUAUCGAAUAAGUUAUGUUUCAGAAAAAAAAAAAAUGUCGCGACUAAGGACAAAUAGCAAUUCAAACUUUCCAACGUACCACCACCGACAAACUGAGUUUCUCGAAUAAAACCCUGGGCAAUGAAAAAGCCUUAAAAAUAGAAUUGAGAGCCAAGUCACAAUACUAGAAAUAUGUUACUCAGGUGAAGGUCUACACUCUUGAGCUGACAAUAAGAGCAAAGAACUACGUCUCCAAGCACAUUGAAAAAGAAAGAGCUAUAAACAACUAUCAUUAACUCAGGGUGUCGUAAACACGAACUUGUUUUUACGUUUGAGCUCUUCAGUGAAUUGGCUUCCUUUGUUUUUCACUUGUUACUUCUUCUUCUUUUUUUCCUUGAAAAUGAUGAAAUAUUCACUUUGGAUUUUGACUAAGCAUAAAAUAUUAUAUGAUAUGAACAUAGUUAAUGCAAGUGAAGUAUAAUGUCAUAAAGUCUAAGCACGUAUUACUUUAUUGACUCAGUUUGACGAGGGCAGGGUGUGAUUACUAAAGCUAGAGGGUCUAGAUAAAAUGGAAUUAAAUUGGACUGUGCAUCGAAUAGGGGGGGGAAACGAUUUUAAAAUAUAUAUACAAAAAUUGGAAUUAACUCACGGAGCCUCCUUUUGACGUAACAAUAAGUUUUGCUUUGAAACUUCAAAAUUAAGCAAGCACAAGCUAGGGCACUACUAGGAUGGGUGACAUCCUAGGAAUAAACUUGCCUGUUCGCUAAAGGACAAAUCAUGAGGCUCAGCAUGAGGCAGGUCAAAGUGGGACAAUACCUCCAAUGAGUUAAUCAAGCGACAUCAUAAUAUAGUAUUAGAGCAAGACCACUUUGGUAGGUGUGUGGUUGGGAGUCAAACCAGGUGGAAGCUAGUGGCUUUUGGAAUGCCCUAAUUCGAUGAGAGAAAGGAAUGGUCACCGAUAUCAAGGGACUUGGACAAGAAGCGGCUCCUAACGGGCUUCUAGGAUAGCAAAAGGAGUAGGCAUGAGUAGAAUUGUGUAUCGAAUAGAGAGAGAGUGAUUCUAAUAUAUAUGAAAACUAUAAUUAACUCACUAAGGCACAUUAAAAGUUUCGUUUUGGAACUCUAAAAUUAAGCGAGCCCAUGCUAGAGCAUUACUAGUAUGGACAACCUCUCUCCUGGAGGCUUAGUAUGGGACAAGUCAAAGCGAAAAAUAUCUUGAGUAAGUUAACCUAGGGAUGUCACAAUUACAAUGUUCAAUCUCAUCCUGUAUGAAUUAAGAUCAGCAUGUGUGACCGAUUCAAGUAAAAAUAGGUUAAUACAUAAUCAUUACUUUAAGGUAGAUCUUCGAAGCAACUUGAGAGGUUUUUAAUGUCAAUGUGAGUAACAUAUGAUGGAUUUAUCUCGUAAGCACAUGAUUUUACAUUAAAGAAAAUAAAUCAAUGAUUGAAGAAAAGCAAUUUUUGCACUCCGGAGAUGUCAAGACCAAAUUGAACAAAAGUGUGCAGAAAGGUAAUCGAGAAUCAUGUGAAGCCAAUGAGGUGCAAGUAGGUGUUGGAUUCUUGAUCAGUUUCCUUCACGCCCUGAUCAAGAUCGACCUCGUCAUGAUGCUCGCCAGCGACAUCUGGUUGUUUUUUCUCGGCGCUACAGUAUCUUGGCUCUCUAGCGGCGAGAUUAAUAUAGAUUUGAGUGAUCAACUUCUUGAACGCGAGUAAGGAUUUCAUUUUUUGGUUACUAUGACAAAAACAAAAUGAUUUGACUGACGUCUGAAACAAAAGCACGAGCGCGCAAGGAAAAAGACAAAAACAAACUUAAAAUAAUAGUGAUGAAAAAUAUAAUUGAAAUGACCCACUGGACUCGAGUCUGGGAUUCGCUCUGGAUAUGAGCAAGCGAAAGGAAUAAGGUGGUGGGGCCACCUGCCCAUCAAAAUCCGCUUGAUCAUUGUUCUUUCUUGAUCUAAAUAGCGUAAAGUGAAGCUAGCACGACAGUCGAAGGUGAUGAGUUAAUAUUCCUUGGGCCUUUCACUAUGCAAAAAGACAGGAAAAGAAGAAGAAGNNNNNNNNNNNNNNNNNNNNNNNNNNNNNNNNNNNNNNNNNNNNNNNNNNNNNNNNNNNNNNNNNNNNNNNNNNNNNNNNNNNNNNNNNNNNNNNNNNNNNNNNNNNNNNNNNNNNNNNNNNNNNNNNNNNNNNNNNNNNNNNNNNNNNNNNNNNNNNNNNNNNNNNNNNNNNNNNNNNNNNNNNNNNNNNNNNNNNNNNNNNNNNNNNNNNNNNNNNNNNNNNNNNNNNNNNNNNNNNNNNNNNNNNNNNNNNNNNNNNNNNNNNNNNNNNNNNNNNNNNNNNNNNNNNNNNNNNNNNNNNNNNNNNNNNNNNNNNNNNNNNNNNNNNNNNNNNNNNNNNNNNNNNNNNNNNNNNNNNNNNNNNNNNNNNNNNNNNNNNNNNNNNNNNNNNNNNNNNNNNNNNNNNNNNNNNNNNNNNNNNNNNNNNNNNNNNNNNNNNNNNNNNNNNNNNNNNNNNNNNNNNNNNNNNNNNNNNNNNNNNNNNNNNNNNNNNNNNNNNNNNNNNNNNNNNNNNNNNNNNNNNNNNNNNNNNNNNNNNNNNNNNNNNNNNNNNNNNNNNNNNNNNNNNNNNNNNNNNNNNNNNNNNNNNNNNNNNNNNNNNNNNNNNNNNNNNNNNNNNNNNNNNNNNNNNNNNNNNNNNNNNNNNNNNNNNNNNNNNNNNNNNNAAAUCAGCACAAGUAUCUACAUACUUGCUUAUACAUCUGUGUGGAAUAAUUACAAUUGAUUUACAUGUCAAAGCUAUCCUCCUCGAGUUACCCAAUAGGCUGACAGUCUAAAUUUGGAUUUCUUCAUUCCCAUUGCACACUAAUUUAUCUCAAGUAAGCGAAUCAUGGAAAGCAUGGCAAAAAAUCAUGCGAAUUUUUGCUACCAAAAUAGUAGUAUGCAACAAAAUCACGCUAUUUUUUCCCGAUGCCGAUGUACCUUGGUUCCCCUGCAUAGAAUCCCGAGCCGAGCUUGUUGAGCCCACCGGGCACCGCCUCCUUCUCUCCAAUUUUCUCCCACAUCCUUUUCAUCUGCUUUACCCACAAAGCUGUUUAAUACUCUCCAGAAAAGACAGUCAUGCCUCUGGGUAUAAAAAAUAUAUCGAGCAGAUUCCAUGGAGAACAAAAUCUCAUCGGCUGCAAAUGCGAUUUCCUGGGAGCCACAGCCAAAUAUAUUGUUGGAGAGCCAAUGAAGUAGCUUACCUUCGAAGAUCUCAGUUCAUCCUUCAGCAACUUUCAUUUUCCAACAUUCCAAGCAACCCCACCAGCACCUAAUGGCUAGUGCUUCUUUUUCUUCGAAACCUAAGAGGAAUUACGAUGUUUUCUUGAGUUUCAGAGGCACCGAUGUUCAUAAUAACUUCCUCAGUCAUCUCUACACGGCUUUAGAUCAAAAUGUUUAUUCAGUUACCUCGACAGUGAGGAACUAAGGAAAGGAGAGCAAAUAUUGCCAGCAUUUAUGAAGGCAGUUGAGGAAUCGCAAGUCGCAAUCAUUGUUUCUCCUGAGGACUACGCUNNNNNNNNNNNNNNNNNNNNNNNNNNNNNNNNNNNNNNNNNNNNNNNNNNNNNNNNNNNNNNNNNNNNNNNNNNNNNNNNNNNNNNNNNNNNNNNNNNNNUGCAUUCAACUCAGGUGCAGUACCUACACCUGAUCGAGUGUUAGGCGUGCUAGACUGUCGUGUAGAAAGUGAAGAAGAGCUAGCUUUCUCAUUGUACGCUAUGAAAGCACUGAGAGGGACAGGACGAGAGAGGCAUCGUGACCCAGGGAUAGAGUAGGCUCGCCUGGCCAUCGACAAGGCUCGCCCGGUCACUGAUGAGGCUCACCCAGCCCCGCUGGUGACCAAGCUUGCCUCGCCGAGGCUAGGCGAGGCCAGCCUGGAGCCUCGGCAAGGCCAGCCUGGCCACCAGCGAGGCUCGCCCAGUUGCCAGUGAGGCUUGGCUGACGAAGGCCGACCUCGCCGAGGGCCGGCGACGCUCAUAAUGCUCUGAUGAGCGUCGCCAGCCCUCGUCUAGCCGGUCGCUAGACUGGCGACCGACCACAUGAAGAAGAAGAAGAAGAAUAGGAAAAAAAGGAAAAAUAAAAUAAAAUAAAAUAAGGAAAAAAAAGUAAAGAAAAAAAGUAAAAAAAUUAUUUUAAAAUUAUUUUAAAAUCAAAAAAAAUUAAUUUGGAACAUAAUCAAUUAGCACGGUAUCAAACGCAAUUCUAUUCCAGAAUAACAUUUUUUGGAUAGUUACCAAAUGCAUUUUUUUACUCAAAAUCAGAUUCCGAUAACAGAAUCAAAAAUAAUUAUUUCUAGUCAGAAUCAGCUCCCGGGAAUAGAAUCGUUAUCAAACGCAUCCUUAGCCGACACACCUUUUGUCCUUUUCAUUCUUAUCUUUGAAUUGCUGUUUUUGUCCCUUUGUGGAUUUUUCUUCUGGCCCCACAACUUCAACGACCCGCCCCUAUUCUCUUUCAGCUUCUUCUUUCAUUCACUUGCUCGUGAAUUCUGCCCCACAAAAACCCCACCGGUCUCUCUCUUCCCUCAUCUCCUUUAUGUGGGCUUCAAUUCCACUGAGCAGCGGUUUCUUGUGCCUUUCUUCCAUUUGCUCCCUCAACCGAAGCUGCCACCUCGCUCGUCAACCUGCAGCUGCUUCGAAGAUCCAAUUCCGCCUACACGGCCCCAUUUCUUCAAGUCUUCAUUUCGUGGCCACAUGUCCACGCACCCUCCACCUUUGGUCAACCCUGCAUUCCAGUGAACCGUUCCCUUGUUUUGUUGACUGCAGCCAAUCCGCCGAGUUCAUGAAGCCGUAAGUCCAACCUACUUCAUCGCCACCGAAGCAGCCCAGCUUGUGUCAUCUUCACCCCCAUCAAUAGCCCCUCCACUCUAGCAAUUUGGUCUAGCUUGGCGCCAAAGCAAGAAGCCGUGAAAUCAGCCCUCAACUAGCCAUGGACAGCACCUAUUUUUUAGUUAGGGCAGAAGUUGCAUGGCCGAUUUUGGCCCUGGUUUGGCCCUGCAUGGCGGUCCCGCUUUGAAGUUUAUUGGCCGCCAUCGUGUCCCCGUCGUUUUGAUCUAAAUGGAUCAUUAAUUAGGUGAGUUUAACUCACUAAACCUUGUUUAAUAUGCUAAUGAUGCUUAAGGGUUGAUUAGAUUUAAUUAAGCAUGAUUAGGGGGUUAGAUUAGUUUAGAGUGAUUAAAUUAGCGAUUUACAAAUGCAUGUGAGGUGGUCAAAUGUAGCCAUGAGCCAGUAGAAAUGUCCUAAUAUUUAUUGAACGGAUCUCGGGAUUUUUCCCAGUUUGUUUUGGCAUCCAAUUGGGCAUUACGAGCAUAAAUUGGAUUUAUUAGUAUUUAAUAAUUAAAAUUUGUAAUUAAUUAUUUAUUUAUUUAUUUUCCAGAAAUUAUACUGGGAUAGCCAACGAUUGAAAUUUUAUGUUGAUUAUCAUGGUGCGGUCCAUUUAUUUAUCUGAGCUCUAAUUAGUGCUGAAUUGAUUUAAUUAUGCCAAAAAGACUUUGGAAGAUUACGGAAUAUAGUGAGAUUUGUGGAAAGGAAACUGAGUAUGUAAUUUAUCACGCCGGCUUGAUAACUAAGUGUGUCAUCUCGGAGAAAGGUGCUAUGUUACAUCGGCUCAAUAACUAAGUAUGUCAUCUCGGAAAGAGACAUUAUGAUUUGUUGGUUCAAUGAUUUGAUAUAUCACCUUGGAGAAUGUACAUGGGCUUAGAGACUCGUUAUGUUAUCCUGGAGAAUGCACGUGGGCUCGGUGAUUAAGUAUGGCAUCUUGAAGAAGACAUGUGGGCUCGGUGACUUGAUACAUCAUCACCUUUGAGAAUGCACGUGGGCUUAAUGAUUAAGUAUGGCAUCUUAGAGAAGAUGCGUGGGCUCGGUGACUUGAUGCAUCACCUUGGAAAAUGCAUGUAGGCUUAAUGAGUAAGUAUGUCAUCUUGGAGAAUGCACAUGGGCUCGGUGACUAGGAGAGUCAUCUUGAAGAAUGCAUGUGGGCUCGAAGACUAGAUGUUUCAUAUUGGGAAAUGUAUAAUAUCAGUUUAAAUGACCAGGGAAAUGUCGGAAUGACAUGUAAUCGAUUAGGUCAAUUAAUCAAUAGUUCGAUCUGUGAUGAAUAAUUGAAUGCUUAUUGAACUGUAUUGAAUUGCAGGUGAAAUCUGAGGCCAAGGUAAGUCCUCUGACUCGUGUUGUGCAUAGGCAGUCCUUAUGGCAUAUUGGCCUUCUAAUCAAGUUUUAGGAGGGUAGAACUCGUUGAGACGUAGUCUCACCCCGUUGUGGGACAACAUUUCAAGUCCGUAAAUCUUGAAGAAGAACCGGAAGAAGAAUUGGAGGAGAAUCUAGAUGAUGAUCCAGAGUAUGACUCGGAUGAGGACUGAGACCUCACCAUAUUUUGCAAACCCCAGGUUGUGAACUGAUGUGUGAUAGAUCAGGCAUAUAAAAAUUGUGGUUGUGGUUUUUAGAGGUGAAAAAUAUGGCUCUACUUAUCUAUCACAUUGUUUAAUUGUUUGGGGAUUGUUUAAUUGCUUCCACUUGCGUAAUAAAAUAAAAUGGUCGGCGAUGCAUCAUGGGACAUGACUAUUAAUCGACCACGUGAGGGAUGGGUGUGUGCUCGAGGAUCGGGGCUUGAUAGGGAGAGAAUAUGAGAGCAUAAGACUCUCCGUAUAUGUGAAAACAUGUGUACAAAUAAAAGUCUCUCUCAUUUUUCAUAGAAAUCGAUGUCGAUAUCAAUGUUGGUGUCAGAGCGUCGAGCCAAAGUUGGUGGGGGCUUCUGGAAAGUAGUAGAGACGAAUGGACGGCAUUGUGUUUGAUUGAGUCAGUUUGAUUAACUGAACAUGGCAUUAUUAUUGACGUUUGCAUUAUUAUUGACGUUUGGAUUGGAUUAUCAAAACCAUAUCUAUUACCUCGUUCCGAUCUCAAUUCAUCCUUCAGCACCUUCAUUUCCGAAAUUCCAAGCAAACACACCAGCACCCGCUUCCUCUUACCAAAUACUAAUGGCUUCUUCUUCUUCUUCUUCUUCUUCUUCCAAGCACAAAAGGAGCUAUGAUGUCUUUCUGAAUUUUAGAGGCACGGAUGUCCGCAACUAUUUCCUUGGUGAUCUCUACACAGCUCUUGUUCAAAGUGGAAUAAACACUUACAUGGAUAGUGAAGAUCUAAAGAAGGGAGAGCAAAUAUCACGCGCACUUAUGGAGGCAAUUGAGGAAUCGCAAAUCGCGAUUGUUGUUUUCUCCGAGGACUAUGCCUCAUCACCGUGGUGUUUGGAGGAAGUGGCGAAAAUCAUGGAGUGCAAGGAGCAAAGAGGUCUCAUGGUCUUUCCGGUGUUUUACAAAGUGGAACCUAGAGAAGUGAGAGGGCAGAGACAGGGUUAUGCAGAAGUGAUGGCCAAACAUGAGGUGAAGUUUGGGAAGAAUUCAGAAAAAGUAAAGCGAUGGAAGAAAGCUCUUCUUGACGCCGGUAGCUUGUCUGGAUGGCAUUUUAUGGAUGGGUACGUGAAAACACUUCUACUGCUUCAAAUAGUAUAAUUCUUUUGAUUUUUGAUCUUCUUUAAGGUUUGGGAUCCUCCAAAGUUCGGCGUAAUCUAUCCCGCCUCUCUCUCUCUCUCUCUCUCUCUAAUUUGCCUCGUCUCCCUCUCUCUCACUCUCGCAUUAGACACACAGCACAGAAAACACUUGCACAGAACACGAAAGAGUACCAUGGGCGAGCCGUUCGUCCUCUCCGACACCCUGCCGAUUCUCGACACGCGGCCGUCCAAUUGCCCACGGCCCAACGCCACCCCAGACGUAUCACCUCAGCCCGUCUCUGUCUCUCUGUGUCUAGGGGCUUUAGGCUACGAAUCUGGGCUCGCGACCCCGGAUCUGGGUGGCUUCAAGCCCAGAUCAGCGGUCGCUAGCCUCGGGCAGUGGUCGCCUGGGACUCUCCUGUCUUCCGUGACAGAGGGACAAAAACACGGAAAGAGGGCGCAGCAACUGCGGCAGGACAGGCGAUGGUGAUGGGUACAUCACGGUGGCAGGGACAUGGCGGCGGGGGGAACAGAUUGGGGCGGCCACGGGGCAGUGGCAAAGCGGAGGGGAGUGGAGAGAGAGAGGGAUGGGGGAAAUCUGGGUUUGGGUUUUGAGCCUAGGCAUUUUCUUAUUUUCUAAGUAAAUUUAACAAAACAAAAUUCUAGAAAAUGUAAAAGAAAAUUAAAAAAAAUUGAAACUUUAUAUUCGCAAAUUGAGAUAUUGGUUAGAAGAAAAGUUGCACAAUAUUCAAAUAAAAUAAGUUUCUUCGAUGUCAAAAACUGUCAUAAUACAUCAAAAUCAUGCAUACUAAUCUAUAUCCUAUGUCUACUAUAUAUAGUUUAAGCAGGAUUUAAGAGGAAGUUUCCUUUGCUUGCCAGGAUUUAAGAGGAAGUUUCCUUUGCUUGCCAACAUGGGAGGUAAUAUUGCUCUAGCAUUGCCACAUGGCAUAUUUUAGCAAUUUGUACUUUAUCUUGAAAUACUUUUUUAACAAAUAUAUUUUUGUUUACAAAAAAUCAUGAUAGUAAAGUUAUGGACUUUUUUUUUUUUUUUGAUCAGAAAAGUUAUGGACUUAAUUUGAAAGUUUAAAUUCUAAUAAUUUGAAAUUCAAAAAAAUAACACGAAUAUAAAAAAUCUUGAAAUAAACUUUUUUACUAGCAUAUAUCAUUAAAUGUAAUUUAUGACCAAACAAAUAUCCAUUUGGCUUAAAGUUAAAGUAUGAGAAAUAUAAGUCAUUAAAUCAAUGACACGGAUAAUGCAAGUUAUUGUCAUUAUAAACCAUGAUAUCAGUCUGUAUAUAAUUACAUAAAUAAUACAAAUAAACCAUAGAUAAGCCACUCCUAAUUGGAAAUAUAGAUUACUUCACAAUGUUAAUUUCAUUUGGUAUUAGCUUAAAUUUGGCAAUCUGGAUUAGGCUAUCUUCCAUGAAAGACUCAUGCGAUUAGCACCCUCAUUCUUCGACCAAUUAUAAGAUUCGUGGACUUUGGACUUCCAAUUCGGACAAGAAGUUAGUAGACGGAGCUUGCGCUCCCAUGUCCCAACCCCGUUAUUGUUAAUUGGAGGGUCUUUUGUACCGCUGGCAUGCCUCUGCUUCUUGUUGAAGUUUUGAGCUAGCACUCUCUCAUUCACAGAUCCAGACUAAAAUCACUUAAGAGAGUAAGAAUUGCAAAGAAAGCUUUCUCUACUGAUUUCCCAUCUCCUUUCAACUGAAGAGGUAUCAGCUAAUAUACAUACAAAAGCCAAUGCCUGUAGGAUGUUGCCAGCUUACUUCAACAUUUACAAGCGGACAAAAAAAAAAAAACGUAAGCUGCCUACGCCUAUACAAGACAUUAUACGCUGUCUAACCAAUGGAGGUUAUCUUUUCUGCCUUUGCUUAACAGGUUUCACUGAUGCAAGAUUUUUUUACUUUUUAUUUUUAAAUUCUUGACCGUGCAAAUUCCUUUCUAUUGUUUUUGUAACCGUUUUUUCCAUUUGAAUCCUUUUAAUCUCAUCUGUACACUUCCAAUCCAUGCAUUUUCUCUUCUUCUGAGAAAAUUAGUUUUUCGUGUCUUGUACUGCUGACCUACCACUCCAUCUGAAGGCUGGCCUUGGGCCUUUUCUUCUAAAUUGGGCGUGAUUAUCUCGUUCCGUUUUCUCUUCCGGUGGCUGAUCUUGGGUUUGGGAGAUCUUCCAGACUUCAAAAACAUCAGCCCUGAUACAUAAGCUCUGUUAACUAAGCCAGAAACUUCGUAGGCAGAUCAAUUACUCUCCCUCAGUCUCUCUCUUGGACUUCUUUUUAUUUAAAGCUCAUACAACCCUUGAGAAUGAUGAUAAAAAUUCUUCCAUCACCACGCAGAUAAUACUUUGUUUGUUACCUAUUACAUGCUCUAGGACAGCUUUAAAAAUUCAAUUUGAGUGGCCUUAGUAAUAAAAAUAAUACGUGCCCCUACUUUUCUCUGUUGAAUUUUCCAGAUCUGUCCGGAAUACUCUCUCCUUUCAUCCAGUUCCAUUCAUGGUAACAAUCACUGCAGCAUAUCUAGGACCAUCUAAGUAGCUUAAAGCAUAUUUUACCAACGGAUGGAGUUUACUAACAAGGUGUAGAUACCCUCUGUCAAUGUUGAUCGAGUCUGCAAACCCUGCGUCUACAAGCAGGAGUCCAGUUUCCGCUAUGCUUAUGUGAAGUUUCUAGCUUAGUCAUCCUUGUCCUUCCGAAUGGAGAUAAGGAUUUAGAACACAGAGUUCCUGAAAAGAAAAGUGUCUCUCGAGUCUAUUAUAUUUCUUUAUUAGCGUCAUAUCUCCAGGUAGUAGAGCUUUAGAGAAUACGUACCUUUCCUUUCCAUUAAUCAAGGAACUAUUCUCCAAUUGUUUUGUAAAAUUUCAACUCAACUUCUAGAAUCUUUAUCUGUGAAGCAGGAUCUUUUAUGAACCAUUGAAGUUGCUGAAAAUCUUUUUCUCAAGUCUAUCCAGCAACUCCGCAUAGAUUUUAGUACCCUUCCCUCGAGGGCUGUGAUCGUUGGAAUCAAUCUGUAGGUAUCAAAACUUAAUAUUCAAAUUUUAUAUUUUCUAGGUUUUUAUCACCAGAUUCAAUGUCAAAAUCUUCUGGAAUAGGAUUAUGAUUCUCAGGAAUAUUUUGCUCGUGAUUUCUCUAUGGCCAUCUGGUACAAACUUUCCAAGAUCUUCAUUUUCAAGAUCUUGUUCUCAUAACUUUAUUGAAGCCAUAUAUGCCCGAUGGUUCACCUGAUAAACCCAUAACCAUUUUUGAAUCAGAUCAUACUUCGUGAGUGUGGUUGUUUGCCAAACAUAUCAUCUUCUACCUGAUUUUAAUCUUCAAGGAUAUCUCCUUUAAUUUUUUUGGGCUCAAUCAAAAGAGGCUUGUGAACUUCAACUGUCUUUUCAACCAACUAGUUCAUUCUCCUGGCAAGUCUUUCACGGUAUUCAUACCCCACAGUCAUUCAACAGAUGAUAUUAAGGCUUUUUUCCUUUCCUAUAUGAUUCUAAAAUGAGAAAAAAGAACUCUAGGUCUUUUGCAUAGCCAACUAAUAUUUGCUUUCGUUCUCACAGAACCAUAGCGUUUGCUCUCAUUCUCCUUCUGUCUCUUUGGGGACUUCUUCCUUGGACGCCCCUCUUGCUUGCAUAGCCAAAAAAAAAUUCUUUCUGCUGUAGGAUUUAUCUGCACAACAAGACAAUUUACGAGAGAGAGAGAGAAGCAGCUAAGACAAUUUUUAUCUGGAAGAAUAUAUUCUACGUCAAAGUUGUGAUAACUAUACUAUUCUUGUAUAAUUAGAAGCCUAGUUUGCUGAGUUUCUUUCAGAUUCAGAUUUGUUAAAAAAAUAGCUCUGAUACCAUGUUAAAAUUUUUGGAUAUGUGCGCUGCCGAAGUAUGGUUUUUAGUAUUAGUUAUAGUUUUUUGUUAGUGAUGUGUGCAAGUGUAUGGUAUAUUUUGUAGAGGAUGGACAAGGAACAAGAUAGAAUAAUUCAAGGACAAAGGUGAUAAAUAGGGAGAAAAUAGUUUCAUUAAUUGGUCAAAAUAAUUUGAUGGAGGUACGGUGGAGAUCUAAGACCUCUCACGGUGGAGGGUUUUCACCCCCACACACAAGGUGGAGGGUUCGCCUCUCACACACCUCAAAUGGAUGAACAACCAGCCUAUUUAUAGAUAAUUACAACCGACUUAGUCACUGCCCUAGACAGCUAGACAAUUUUCUUCUUCUCCAAGAGUACUUGCUGCCCACAUACUCUUGAUCCUUCUUUCUUCAUGGUUAAGCAGCCAUUGUUGACUUUCAUUCGAUAUUUCCCAUGCACAAAUUUCCCAUGCACGUAGACUUCUCUAGCUUCUUCUCCUUCAGCCGCUAUUCUUGACUUUAGGUUUCCCACUCGAAUCUUCUCCAACAUAUGAAAGUCUUCAACUUUGACUUGGACUCGCCUUUUCUUGCAUGCUUGCCGACUUAGAGCAAGUUGUAGCCGCCAAUUUCCUUCUCCAUUAAGUUAGUAGUUUCUUGAUAGUUGUAGAGAAAAUAGAUCACAAUUUCCAACAAGAUUCAAGAAUCUUUCGACAUAUUCAGAGUUGGUUCUCACUACAAACCUUGUUGGGGCUAGGAAUAUGUAAAAAGUUUUUUGUACAAAUUUUCAUGGCAAGUACAUCCUUUACAUGUAUCAAAUAAAUGAGUUCAGAUCAUUUAAAUGUGGCAGACUAAUAUUGAUAGAAGUUUUACUUAUUUUCUUUAUUUAGUUUUUUGUACUUCUCCCCAGCAUUCAUGUGAUGCAUCAGAAGGUGAUAAUAUGAUGGCAAAUGCUUUACCUUUUCUUUUACCUAGUGCUUGAGUGUCUUCAUCAUCCCAAAAUCGAGAUGCAUUACUUGGAGCUUUCUUGGGUAGCCUACUAAGAGAUUUUAAAAUUGUCUGGCCUAGUUAGCACUUAGCAGAUCUACAGUACCUCUGAACUUUUUAUCUUCUACUUUGUCAGGAAAGUUUAUUAUAUCUCGCAAAUUUAGGUUUGUAAUGCUAGCUUUUUUUCUCUCUACUUCCUACUUCCAUACCCAAGCAAUUAUCUUUUUCCUUUAUCCAUUUUACCUUCUCUUUUACAUAGGAUCAUGCCUUUUUUCUUAAAGAUAUUUGUCAGUAGUCAUAAGUGAUUCAUUUGCAUCUCUUCACUUUUGCUAAAGACUAUUACAUUGCGUAUAUACGCAGCACAAAAUGCCUAGGGCAUUCUGUCUAUGAGAUCUCCUGCCGUAGCUAUCUUAUAGUCAUCAGCCUUGUUGGUUUGCUGAGCUGAAGAUAGUCUGCAACAGUUCACGCUUUUCCUACCAGCUUUGCAUGGUUAAUGGGUUAGAGUGCGGAAUAUAACCAUCUCUUAUAAAACCUUUGGAGCACAGAUCAGGAAUUUGUCUUUCAAAUACCUCUACCAACUCACAGUUUUUGCUGAAAUGAUGAUAAUUGGAUCUUUUAGCUCAAGUCUGACUUUUACACCAUUAAGACUCCACAAUUUGACUUACAUUUUACACACACACAAAAAAAAAAAAAAAUAGAAAAAAGUAAAAGGACUCGACAAUUUGUGGAUCUUCACGAAAGUUAUUUUUCAAUUUCGGCAGGAACUUAUUCCAUUUUGUUCCUGGCAGUUGGAUACCCCGAAUUUUCCCUUGUUCUAGGCAGAACAAAUUUUGACAGUAGAAGGUAUCAUUUGGAAAUGAAGAUUUUUCGCAUCCAAAUAGCUUAUGCUCCCAUUAUUUACCACGUUGUGCUCACACUAUGAAUGCUUGGCCACAUGGACAGUCUCCACAAAACUCUGAUUUGUUUCACAGGAUAAACCUCAAAUUUGUCUUAACCAAGGAUUUAGAAGAGUGACGCCUGCUAUAGUAAUCGUGGUGCUUUCUUGCACAAAAGACCAUUUUUCGUUUUGUCCCUUAAGAAAGCAUUACCAAGAAUGACAUCCUCGUCUAGUGUCAGGAAAGGAAAAUCCGUCUAACAAUGAACAUUGAUUCCCACCAGCCAUUCUUAAUGCAAUAGGCUCUGUUAAUGGUCCCCACCAUUCGUCUGGUGAUGCAUUGGGUCUUGCACAAUUAGUACAAGCUCCAGUGUCUCUAAUGAAUAUGGAUAACACCCGGGAAACUUAAACAUCACAAACAUGUAAGUGCUUAACCCAGCUCAGUUGAUAUGCCAUUUGGGAGGAGGGUUCGAUAAUAUCCCAAACUUUGUCCAUGACUAUAGACCAUCGCCUUGCUGUAUUCCCAAAGCUUGGAAACCUUCAUGUAUAUCUUGGGAUGCGGAUCUUUUCUCCUUCGAAGUGAAUUACGAUUAGAACACUAUUAUCCUUUGACUAUGUAUCCUCUUCUUCAUAGACAGGCAUAUUGAUUUGUUUGUAUCCUAUGAUCCUUCUUUCUAAGGUUAUUGAGUUUACUGACCUUUGAGAUGCAACCUCCUCCCGGUUGACUUCUUGUACAGUAUCCUGUGGUACAGUAAGAGUUUCAAAAGUCCCUAACUUCCAAGCAAAGAGGGAGUAGACAAUGUUCUAAACAUAAGUUUCUUUUUAGGGGUGAGAAUAUUGGAACGCCCAAAUCGGGAACCACCUAGACCGGACUGGAUGGACUGGAUCGGAUUGGAUUGGACCGGGUUCUUGGAGGGAUCGAUCUGGUUUUCAGUUUCGUAGAAAUGGAACCGGUGAUUCUCAGUCUGGUUCUUAGUUCUAGGGAGAACUGAUCAGACUGGCCUUGCUCUUUUUUCUUAAAAAAACAAAUUAAUUUAUUAAAAUAGCAAUAAACUCUAAAAUAAUAACAACUCUAGUAUUUUUAUUAUUAUUAUUUUUUUUUUGCUAAGUGAUUGGUUCCCGGUCCUAGGACCGUCUAGUCCAAUCAACUAGUCCUAAAAAUUGAGAAUUGGUGCUCCCGAUUCGAUUCCCGAUUUCUAGGUGGAACCAGAUUAGAUUACGAACUGAUAACCCCUAGUUAUUUUUGCUCCCCUCUAUUGGACCCGAGAUGCACUAAUCUCUCUAGAUGCUCCAAUAGGUUCCACCAUAGUCGAACUCCUAGGCUGUGUAAUUCUAGGGGGUUAAUUUUUUACCUACAACCUACAAAAUUGUUUGUAAUCGUGUGAACCUCUUCACCUGCUAUCUAACUUCCAUUCUCUAGGAUUCGCGGCAUUCACGAAUCUAUAAAUCAUCCUAGUGUGAUACACCAAACAUUUGACCCGUGGGUUCAUCCUAUCCAUGUUUAAAGAAUCAAUUCUCAAUGUUAAUGAAUUCCCCAAACAAAUAUCAUUUAGAGCCAACAAAUUAUUUGGUUGGGCUUGGAAGCAGACUGGCCCAUGUGCUAGAUUGGCUAGUAUUCCUGAUAUCAAUUAAUCUCGAAGAUCCGUCCAUCUUUGAUCCAAUACAGUUUCAAUCACAAAAUUGCCAACAGGAAGAUGAAAUAGUGGGACCUAUCCUAUUCUGAUUAACCCUACAUAUGUAUAUAAGGGCAUGUGCCUCUUGUUCUUUCUCUUGUCUCUCUAAUUUUUUGAAGAUUUAGCAUAGGCACAUCUAAUGUUUGAAGUUCAGUAUACGACAUCUUUGCCAUUGGUGUCAAUCGUGAGAAAGUUAUUGCCUAUUUAGAGUUAAAUCUUAAUAAUCAAUAAAUAGCCCUAACGUCUACUUCGAGCAGCCUCCACUCCAAAGUUGAUCCUGACAAUAAAUCUUGUCGAAAAGUUUCUUCUAAUACCUAAAAUGUUGACUUUAAGGGCACUAUAUCAUCACAUGCGUUCGUCAUUGAUAAUUGUUCACUACAUUAUCUUGAAUCUUCUUCAUCCGUCUCAUAUUCUGAGAAAACUUCAUAGAGACAUUUAACCUGAAAGUAUAAAUUUUCUAGUUCCUGCUGAUCUAUAGGUUUAUAAGCAGGUUCCUCAUGAAGAGUGACAUCUUCGAAAAUACUCCACAAAUAUUCUCUUUUCGUGGAUACUUUUAUUGACAAGCAUGAAGCUUGUGGGGGUUUGAAUCCACAAAAUAGAACAAAAGCUACAACUACUUAACAGGGUUUAACUUGAGGAAAACGAGGCGUUCUUCUGUGUUCCCUUUUAAAGGCCUCAAUUCUUUGUAAAUCUGGAUGACUUUUCAGAUUUAUGAGGCCUUAGUUAUCCCCUUGGUAUACUUUUUUCAUAUCAAAUAAACUUUCUUCUUUUCGAUUCUUUAGGGAAAGUCUCUUGCAGUUCUGGUUUCUCGAUGGAUGUUACAGCCAUAUCUACACUGCACAUAUUAAAUCAAAGGGCAACAACUCUUGUUUAAAUAAGGAAACUAUUUAGUUGCUUCCUUCGCUUAGAAUUCAUUACUCGCUCUCCUCAUCGUAUACAUUUUUUCCUGGAUUCACCCACCUGGACCUUCUACUACCUCUUUUUCUUGAAGGAGCAAGUCGUAAGCCUUCUUUGUGACCUCUGGCCAGGGCUUCGGAAGUAUGUCAAAGAGAGUCUUUGAGAUUGUUGAAAUUCACAGUGCCAAAAUAGCACAUGUCAAAAGUCUGUACUUUCAUUAGAGCAUCUCAAGGCUAUACUAUAUACUAUUUCUGUAAAAAGCAAUAAAUCACAGAAUUCUCUUUUUAAGACAUCUGUUACGAUGGCUUAUUUUCCAUCUGCAAUAAGCUCUUGUCUAUUUUAUACCUUAAAACUGUUUGAGAUAAUAAGAAUUUGCCAAACAUCUGAGCGUUACUGACAAGAGUGGCUUCACAUACUUCAUACGUAGUGUUGGACUUUAUCCUCCUGCAUUUGUUAUCAAAUCAAUGGUUGUGACCAUUCAUCUAUCCUGUCAAACACAUGUUUUCCGUAUUGAGAUUAAGAAAAGCACCAAGAACUAACCAGAGGCCUUAAUGGAUUAAUCAUUAAACAAACUAUGAUUUGUUCUAUGUGGAUAACCGGGCUUAUAUAAAGUCCAUUGUCGCUGUUAAAAGCUCAAUAAAUAUUCUAUCAUCAAUAGUAUCGGAGAUUCUUUAGCCAACCCCAAAGAUUGCCGAAGAUGUUGGGCUAACUUACUAGUAUCAUUACCAUUAAG